GGGUCAAGGUACUCUCGUCCAAGGCCAGGGCAUCAUCCAACCUCAACAACCAGCUCAAUUGGAGGCGAUCAGGUCAUUGGUGUUGCAAACUCUUCCAACCAUCUGCAAUGUGUAUGUCCCACCUGAGUGCUCCAACAUCAGGGCACCAUUUGCCAGCAUAGUCGCGGGGAUUGGUGGCCAAUGAAAAAAGCAAGAGCUAUACUAAUAGAUAGAUGGAUCCUCGUUGCUUAGCAGAUGCACCAAUCGAUGUAACGAUGACAAAUAAAGUGGCACGUACCAUCAUGUGUGACCCCGACCAGUGCUAGUUCAAGCUUGGGAAUAAAAGACAAACAAAGUUCUUGUUUGCCAGCAUUGAUUGUCAUUGUUCCAUUCACUGUGUAUUUAGUUGUUCAUCCCUAACCGCAGUUCUAGGCUUACACAUCAAUGGCUAUUUGCUCGUGCCGGCAGGUUCCUAUGUAAUCUACCGACUAAUGGUCGGCCUAUUGACCCAGUUUAUAGGCCGAUUGAUAUAUUAAUUGCUGCUCCCAAACUGACCGACCAGCUAUUAGUUACCAUUUUGCUGAACAUUGCACACAAUAAUAACUCAACAUAUUUUAAUGUCUAGAAGUAAAAGGGCCAUUUUAGCAGCAAAACAAGCGCCUGAUUAGGAACCAUCCAGCACUUUAAAUGUUCACCUAGAUAUUUCUACGUUGAUGCAAUUUUGAGAUUGGUGGCACCGAAACAUUCCUCAAAGCAAUUCUUUAUGGGACUCCAAAGAGGUGAAAAUAAAGUAAAGUUGCCACAUGGUAAAAUAUAAAUCAUGCGGCGAGCAAGAGCAAAUAUUGAGUCAUGAUAGCAAGCGCCAAACAUGCCAUUAAACUCUUCAUAUGGUUCCGUGCAGAGAAGGGGGAAAAUUGUUGGGGAACGUAGUCAUUUCAAAAAAAAUCCUACGCACACGCAAGAUCAUGGUGAUGCAUAGCAAUGAGAGGGGAGAGCAUCGUCCACCUACCCUCGUAGACCGUAAGCGGAAGCGUUAUGACAACGCGGUUGAUGUAGUCGUACAUCUAUAUGAUCGACCGAUCCUAGUACCGAACGUACGGCACCUCCGCAAUCUGCACACGUUCAGCUCGGUGACGUCCCAUGAACUCACGAUCGAGUAGAUCUUCAAGGGAGAGUUCCGUCAGCACGACGGCGUGAUGACGGUGUUGAUGAAGCUACCGACGCAGGGCUUCGCUUAUGCACUACUAUGAUAUGACCGAGGUGGAUUAUGGUGGAGGGGGCACCGCACACGGCUAAAGAUCAAUGAUCAACUUGUGUGUCUUGGGGUGCCCCCUGCCCCCGUAUAUAAAGGAGAAAGGGGGGAGGCGGCCGGCCAAGGAGGAGGGCGCGCCAAGGGGGGAGUCCUACUUAGGACUCCUCUUUCCUAUUAGGAGUAGGAGAAGGGGGAAAGGAAGGAGAGGAGGAGAAGGAAGGACGGGGCACCGCCCCUUCCCCUAGUCCAAUUCAGACUAGGCUUGGGGGGGGGGGCGGCCCAGCCCUAGCCAGCCCCUCUCUCUCCCUCUCUCUCCCUGAAGCCCAUUAACGCCCAUAAGAUCCCCGGGGGGUUCCGGUAACCUCUCGGUACUGUGGUAUUUAUCCGGUGUCCGAAUAUAACCUUCCAAUAUAUCAAUCUUUAUGUCUCGACCAUUUUAAGACUCCUCGUCAUGUCCGUGAUCAUAUCUGGGACUCCGAACUACCUUCGGUACAUCAAAACACAUAAACUCAUAAUACCGAUCGUCACCGAACGUUAAGCGUGCGGACCCUAUGGGUCCGAGAACUAUGUAGACAUGACCGAGACACGUCUCCGGGUUUAACCAAUAGCGGAACCUGGAUGCUCAUAUUGGCUCCUACAUAUGUUGGGGAACGUUGCAUAAAAUAAACUUUUUCCUAUGUUCACCAAGAUCAAUCUAUGAGUUCAUCUAGCAACGAGAGAGGGGAGUGCAUCUACAUACCCUUGUAGAUCACGAGCGGAAGCGUUCAAGAGAACGGGGUUGAGGGAGUCGUACUCGUCGUGAUCCAAAUCACCGGAGAUCCUAGCGCCGAACGAAUGGCACCUCCGCGUUCAACACACGUACGGUUAGCGUGACGUCUCCUCCUUCUUGAUCCAGCAAGGGGGAAGGAGAGGUUGAUGAAGAUCCAGCAGCACGACGACGCGGUGGAGGAUGCAGCAGAGUUCCGGCAGGGCUUCGCCAAGCGACUACGGGAGGAGGAGGUGUAGCAAGGGGGGAGGGAGGCGCCAAGACUUCAGGGUGCAGCUGCCCUCCCCUCCCCCUCCUUUAUAUAGGCCCCCUGGAGGGUGGCGCCGGCCCUGGAGAUGGGAUCUCCCAAGGGGGCGGCGGCUAGGGGGGUGGAGUGCCCCCCAAGGCAAGUGGAGGCGCCCCCCCCCCCCACCCUAGGGUUUCCAACCCUAGGCGCAGGGGGGCCCAAGGGGGUCGCACCAGCCCACCAGGGGCUGGUCCCCUCCCCACUUCAGCCCACGGGGCCCUCCGGGAUAGGUGGCCCCACCCGGUGGACCCCCGGGACCCUUCCGGUGGUCCCGGUACAAUACCGGUGACCCCCGAAACUCUCCCGAUCACCGAAACUGCACUUCCUAUAUAUAAUUCUUUAUCUUCGGACCAUUCCGGAACUCCUCGUGACGUCCGGGAUCUCAUCCGGGACUCCGAACAACUUUCGGUUUGCUGCAUACUCAUAUCUCUACAACCCUAGUGUCACCGAACCUUAAGUGUGUAGACCCUACGGGUUCGGGAGACACAUAGACAUGACCUAGAUGGCUCUCCGGUCAAUAACCAACAGCGGGAUCUGGAUACCCAUGUUGGCUCCCACAUGCUCCUCGAUGAUCUCAUCGGAUGAACCAUGAUGUUGAGGAUUCAAGCAACCCCGUAUUCAAUUCCCUUUGUCAAUCGGUAUUUUACUUGCCUGAGAUUCGAUCAUCGGUAUCCCAAUACCUCGUUCAAUCUCGUUACCGGCAAGUCACUUUACUCGUACCGUAAUGCAUGAUCCUGUGACCAGACACUUGGUCACUUUGAGCUCAUUAUGAUGAUGCACUACCGAGUGGGCCCAGAGAUACCUCUCCGUCAUACGGAGUGACAAAUCCCAGUCUCGAUCCGUGUCAACCCAACAGACACUUUCAGAGAUACCUGUAGUGCACCUUUAUAGUCACCCAGUUACGUUGUGACGUUUGGUACACCCAAAGCACUCCUACGGUAUCCGGGAGUUACACGAUCUCAUGGUCUAAGGAGAAGAUACUUGACAUUGGAAAAGCUCUAGCAAACGAACUACACGAUCUUGUGCUAUGCUUAUGAUUGGGUCUUGUCCAUCACAUCAUUCUCCUAAUGAUGUGAUCCCGUUAUCAAUGACAUCUAAUGUCCAUAGUCAGGAAACCAUGACUAUCUAUUGAUCAACGAGCUAGUCAACUAGAUGCUCACUAGGGACAUAUUAUGGUCUAUGUAUUCACACGUGUAUUACGAUUUCCGGAUAAUACAAUUAUAGCAUGAAUAAAGACAAUUAUCAUGAACAAGGAAAUAUAAUAAUGAUCCUUUUAUUAUUGCCUCUAGGGCAUAUUUCCAAAAGUCUCCCACUUGCACUAGAGUCAAUAAUCUACUUACAUUGUGAUGAAUCGAACACCCAUAGAGUUCUGGUGUUCAUCAUGUUUUGCUUGCGGAAGAGGUUUAGUCAACGGAUCUGCGACAUUCAGAUCCAUAUGUACUUUGCAAAUAUCUAUGUCUCCAUCUUGAACAGUUUCACGGAUGGAGUUGAAACGAUGCUUGACGUGCCUGGUCUUCUUGUGAAACCUGGGCUCCUUGGCAAGGGCAAUAGCUCCAGUGUUGUCACAGAAGAGAGUGAUUGGCCCCGACGCAUUGGGUAUGACUCCUAGGUCGGUGAUGAACUCCUUCAUCCAUAUUGAUUCAUGCGCUGCCUCCGAGGCUGCCAUGUACUCCGCUUCACAUGUAGAUCCCGCCACGACGCUCUGCUUGCAACUGCACCAGCUUACUGCUCCACGAUUCACCAUAUACACGUAUCCGGUUUGUGACUUAGAGUCAUCCACAUCUGUGUCGAAGCUAGCAUCGACGUAACCCUUUAUGACGAGCUCUUCGUCACCUCCAUAAACAAGAAACAUGUCCUUUAUCCUUUUCAGGUACUUCAGGAUAUUCUUGACCGCUAUCCAGUGUUCCUUGCCGGGAUUACUUUGGUACCUUCCUACCAAACUUACGGCAAGGUUUACAUCAGGUCUGGUGCACAGCAUGGCAUACAUAAUAGAUCCUAUGGCUGAGGCAUAGGGGAUGACACUCAUCUCUUCUUUAUCUUCUGCCGUGGUCGGGCAUUGAGCCGAGCUCAACUUCACACCUUGCAAUACAGGCAAGAACCCUUUCUUGGACUGAUCCAUUUUGAACUUCUUCAAUAUCUUAUCAAGGUAUGUGCUUUGUGAAAGACCUAUGAGGCGUCUCGAUCUACCCCUAUAGAUCUUGAUGCCUAAUAUGUAAGCAGCUUCUCCAAGGUCCUUCUUUGAAAAACACUUAUUCAAGUAGGCCUUAAUGCUGUCCAAAAGUUCUAUAUCAUUUCCCAUCAAAAGUAUGUCAUCUACAUAUAAUAUGAGAAAUGCUACAAAGCUCCCACUCACUUCCUUGUAAACGCAGGCUUCUCCAUAAGUCUGCAUAAACCCAAACGCUUUGAUCAUCUCAUCAAAGCGAAUGUUCCAACUCCGAGAUGCUUGCACCAGCCCAUAAAUGGAUCGCUGGAGCUUUCAUACCUUGUUAGCAUUCUUAGGAUCGACAAAACCCUCCGGCUGCAUCAUAUACAGUUCUUCCUUAAGAUGUCCGUUAAGGAAUGCCGUUUUGACGUCCAUCUUCCAUAUCUCAUAAUCAUAGUAUGCGGCAAUUGCUAACAUGAUUCGGACGGACUUCAGCUUCGCUACGGGAGAGAAAGUCUCAUCAUAGUCAACCCCUUGAACUUGUCGAUAACCCUUAGCGACAAGUCAAGCUUUAUAGAUGGUAACAUUACCAUCCGCGUCUGUCUUCUUCUUAAAGAUCCAUUUGUUUUCUAUCGCUCACCGAUCAUCGGGCAAGUCUGUCAAAGUCCAUACUUUGUUUUCAUCCAUGGAUUCUAUCUCCGAUUGCAUGGCUUCAAGCCAUUUGUUGGAAUCUGGGCCUGCCAUCGCUUCUUCAUAGUUCGAAGGUUCACCGUUGUCUAACAACAUGAUUUCCAGGACAGGGUUGCCAUACCACUUUGGUGUGGAACAUGUCCUUGUGGACCUAUGAAGUUCAGUAGCAACUUGAUCCGAAGUACUUUGAUCAUCAUCAUUAAUUUCCUCUCCAGUCGGUGUAGGCACCACAGCAACAUUUUCCUGAGCUGCACUACUUUCCGGUUCAAGAGGUAGUACUUCAUCGAGUUCUACUUUCCUCCCACUUACUCCUUUCGAGAGAAACUCUUUUUCCAGAAAGGAUCCGUUCUUGGCAACAAAGAUCUUGCCCUCGGAUCUUAAGUAGAAGGUAUACCCAAUGGUUUCCUUAGGGUAUCCUAUGAAGACGCAUUUUUCCGACUUGGGUUCGAGCUUUUCAGGUUGAAGUUUCUUGACAUAAGCAUCGCAUCCCCAAACUUUUAGAAACGACAGCUUAGGUUUCUUCCCAAACCAUAAUUCAUACGGUGUCGUCUCAACGGAUUAAGACGGAGCCCUGUUUAAAGUGAAUGUAGCUGUCUCUAGAGCGUAUCCCCAAAAUGAUAACAGUAAAUCGGUAAGAGACAUCAUAGAUCGCACCAUAUCCAAUAGAGUGCGAUUACGAUGUUCGGACACACCGUUACGCUGAGGUGUUCCAGGCGGCGUGAGUUGUGGAAUGAUUCCACAUUUCCUUAAGUGCGUACCAAAUUCGUGACUUAAAUAUUCUCCUCCACGAUCUGAUCGUAGGAACUUUAUCUUUCGGUCACGUUGAUUCUCUACCUCAUUCUGAAAUUCCUUAAACUUUUCAAAGGUCUCAGACUUGUGUUUCAUCAAGUAGACAUACCCAUAUCUACUCAAGUCAUCAGUGAGAGUGAAAACAUAAUGAUAUCCUCCGCGAGCCUCAACGCUCAUUGGACCACACACAUCAGUAUGUAUGAUUUCCAAUAAGUUGGUUGCUCGCUCCAUUGUUCUGGAGAACAGAGUCUUGGUCAUUUUGCCCAUGAGGCAUGGUUCGCAUGUGUCAAAUGAUUCAUAAUCGAGAGACUCUAAAAGUCCAUCAUCAUGGAGCUUCUUCAUGCGCUUGACACCAAUGUGACCAAGGUGGCAGUGCCACACGUAUGUGGGACUAUCGUUACCAACUUUACAUCUUUUGGUAUUCACACUAUGAAUAUGUGUAACAUUACGUUCGAGAUUCAUUAAGAAUAAACCAUUGACCAUCGGGGCAUGACCAUAAAAUAUAUCUCUCAUAUAAAUAGAACAACCAUUAUUCUCGGAUUUAAAUGAGUAGCCAUCUCGUAUUAAACGAGAUCCAGAUACAAUGUUCAUGCUCAAACUUGGCACUAAAUAACAAUUAUUGAGGUUUAAAACUAAUCACGUGGGUAAAUGUAGAGGCAGCGUGCCGACGGCGAUCACAUCGACCUUGGAACCAUUCCCGACGCGCAUCGUCACCUCGUCCUUCGCCAGUCUCCGCUUAUUCCACAGCUCCUACUAUGAGUUACAAAUAUGAGCAAUGGCACCGGUAUCAAAUACCCAGGAGUUACUAUGAGUACUGGUAAGGUACACAUCAAUUACAUGUAUAUCACAUAUACCUUUAGUGUUUUCGGCCUUCUUGUCCGCUAAGUAUUUGGGGCAGUUCCGCUUCCAGUGACCCUUCCCUUUGCAAUAAAAGCACUCAGUCUCAGGCUUGGGUCCAUUCUUUGACUUCUUCCCGGCAACUGGCCUACCGGGUGCGGCAACAUCCUUGUCGUCCUUCUUGAAGUUCUUCUUACCCUUCCCUUCUUGAACUUGGUGGUUUUAUUGACCAUCAACACUUGAUGUUCUUUCUUGAUUUCUACUUCUGUUGACUUUAGCAUUGAAAAUACUUCAGGAAUAGUUUUCACCAUCCCCUGCAUAUUGUAGUUCAUCACAAAGCUCUUGUAGCUUGGUGGGAGCGACUGAAGGAUUCUGUCAGUGACCGCCUUGUCCGGGAGGUUGAUGUCCAGCUGGGACAGGCAGUUGUGCAACCCAGACAUUUUGAGUAUGUGCUCACUGACAGAACUAUUUUCCUCCAUCUUACAACUAUAGAACAUGUCGGAGACUUCAUAUCUUUCGACCCGGGCAUGAGCUUGGAAAACCAGUUUCAGCUCCUUGAACAUCUCAUAUGCUCCGUGUUGGUCAAAAUGCUUUUGGAUCCUCGGUUCUAAGCUGUAAAGCAUGCCGCACUGAACGAGGGAGUAAUCAUCAGCACGUGACUGCCAAGCGUUCAUAAUGUCUUGGUUCUCUGGGAUGGGUGCAUCACCUAGUGGUCCUUCUAGGACAUAUGCUUUCUUAGCAGCUAUGAGGAUGAUCCUCAGGUUCUGGACCUAGUCCGUAUAGUUGCUUCCAUCAUCUUUCAGCUUGCUUUCUCUAGGAACGCGUUGAAGUUCAUGUUGACAUGAGCGUUGGCCAUUUGAUCUACAAGACAUUUUUGCAAAGAUUUUAGACUAAGUUCAUGAUAAUUAAGUUCAUCUAAUCAAAUUAUUUAAUGAACUCCCACUCAGAUUUGACAUCCCUCUAGUCAUCUAAGUGUUACACGAUCCGAGUCGACUAGGCCGUGUUCGAUCAUCACGUGAGACAGACUAGUCAUCAUCGGUGAACAUCUCGAUGUUGAUCGUAUCUUCCAUACGACUCAUGUUCGACCUUUCGGUCUCUGUGUUCCGAGGCCAUGUCUGUACAUGCUAGGCUCGUCAAGUUUAACCUAAGUGUUUUGCAUGUGUAAAACUGUCUUACACCCGUUGUAUGUGAACGUAGGAAUCUAUCACACCGGAUCAUCACGUGGUGCUUCGAAAUGACGAACUUUAGCAACGACGCACAGUUAGGGAGAACACUUUCUUGAAAUUAUUAUAAGGGAUCAUCUUAUUUACUACCGUCGUUCUAAGUAAACAAGAUGCAUAAACAUAAUAAACAUCACAUGCAAUUAUAUAGUAGUGACAUGAUAUGGCCAAUAUCAUAUAGCUCCUUUGAUCUCAAUCUUCGGGGCUCCAUGAUCAUCUUUGUCACCGGCAUGACACCAUGAUCUCCAUCAUCAUGAUCUCCAUCAUCGUGUCUCCAUGAAGUUGCUCGCCAACUAUUACUUCUACCACUAUGGCUAACGGUUUAGCAAUAAAGUAAAGUAAUUACAUGGCGUUAAAUCAUUGACACACAGGUCAUACAAUAAUUAAGACAACUCCUAUGGAUCCUGCCGGUUGUCAUAUUCAUCGACAUGCAAGUCGUGAUUCCUAUUACAAGAACAUGAUCUCAUACAUCACAAUAUAUCAUUCAUCAUUCAUCACAACUUUUGGCCAUAUCACAUCACAAGGCAAUUGCUGCAAAAACAAGUUAGACGUCCUCUAAUAGUUGUUGCAUCUUUUACGUCGCUGCAAUAGGGUUCUAGCAAGAACGUUUUCUUACCUACGAAAAAGCCACAACGUGAUUUGUCAACUUCUAUUUACCCUUCAUAAGGACCCUUUUCAUCGAAUCCGCUCCAACUAAAGUGGGAGAAACAGACACCCGCUAGCCACCUUAUGCAAGUAGUGCAUGUCAGUCGGUGAAACCUGUCUCAUGUAAGCGUACGUGUAAGGUCGGUCCGGGCCGCUUCAUCCCACAAUACCCUGAAGCAAAAUAAGACUAGUAGCGGUAAGAAAGUUGACAACAUCUACGCCCACAACAGAUUUGUGUUCUACUCGUGCAAUAGAGAACUACGCAUAGACCUAGCUCAUGAAGCCACUGUUGGGGAACGUUGCAUAAAAUAAAAAAUUUCCAACGUUCACCAAGAUCAAUCUAUGAGUUCAUCUAGCAACAAGAGAGGGAGUGCAUCUACAUACCCUUGUAGAUCGCGAGUGGAAGCGUACAAGAGAAUGGGGUUGAGGGAGUCAUACUCGUCGUGAUCCAAAUCACCGGAGAUUCUAGCGCCGAACGGACGGCACCUCCGCGUUCAACACACGUAUGGUCAGCGUGACGUCUCCUCCUUCUUUAUCCAGCAAGGGGAAAGGAGAGGUUGAUGAAGAUCCGGCAACACGACGGCGUGGUGGUGGAUGCAGCAGAGUUCCGGCAGGGCUUCGCCUAGUGACUACGGGAGGAGGAGGUGUAGAAAGGGGGGAGGGAGGCGCCAAGACUUCAGGGUGCGGCUGCCCUCCCCUCCCCCUCCUUUAUAUAGGCCCCUUGGGGGGGAGCCGGCCCUGGAGAUGGGAUAUCCAAAGGGGGCGGCGGCCAGGGGGGUGGAGUGCCCCCCAAGGCAAGUGGAGGCGCCCCCCCACCCUAGGGUUUCCAACCAUAGGCGCAGAGGGGGGCCAAGGGGGCACACCAGCCCACCAGGGGCUGGUCCCCUCCCCACUUCAGUCCACGGGGCCCUCCAGGAUAGGUGGCCCCACCCGGUGGACCCCCGGGACCCUUCCGGUGGUCCCGAUACAAUACCGGUGACCCCCGAAACUCUCCCGAUGGCCGAAACUGGACUUCCUAUAUAUAAUUUUAUCUUUGGACCAUUCCGGAACUCCUCGUGACGUCCGGGAUCUCAUCCGGGACUCCGAAAAACUUUCGGUUUGCUGCAUACUCAUAUCUCUACAACCCUAGUGUCACCGAACCUUAAGUGUGUAGACCCUACGGGUUCGGGAGACACGUAGACAUGACCGAGACGGCUCUUCGGUCAAUAACCAACAUCGGGAUCUGGAUACCCAUGUUGGCUCCCACAUGCUCCUCGAUGAUCUCAUCGGAUGAACCAUGAUGUCGAGGAUUCAAGCAACCCCGUAUUCAAUUCCCUUUGUCAAUCGAUAUUUUACUUGCCCGAGAUUCGAUCGUCGGUAUCCCAAUACCUCAUUCAAUCUCGUUACCGGCAAGUCACUUUAAUCGUACCAUAAUGCAUGAUCCCGUGACCAGACACUUGGUCACUUUGAGCUCAUUAUGAUGAUGCACUACCGAGUGGGCCCAGAGAUACCUCUCUGUCAUACGGAGUGACAAAUCCCAGUCUCGAUCCGUGUCAACCCAACAGACACUUUCGGAGAUACCUAUAGUGCACCUUUAUAGUCACCCAGUUACGUUAUGACCUUUGGUACACCCAAAGCUAUCAGGACCCCGACUCAAUGCCACAUCGAUCUAGCAUGUAACACCUCAUAUCACUUUGCGGCCUCACGCACGGUAUUCCCACGGGUGUCGUCUUACCUUUGCCCGGGACCGUUUGCACCUUUUGGCACACGUAUAUGAUAGUGUUGCUGGCAUCCAUAUGGUAAGGAGCCCGGGCUGACAUGGCUAGUCGUAAACCCAAAGUGGCACAGACUUACAGGGACAGGCAUCCAUGACCCAGCAUCGAACGUGUCGGUCAUCAGCAAGUGAAUCCGGGCUUUAGCACCGGGCUAGCAGGACUCCGGUAAACCGUGCUGCAGCGGGCUAACAGGACUCCGGUAUUCAUCGCAUGACAUUUCGCCGAAGGGACAGACACAGGAACGAAGAAGGCACAUGCCGGCCAGCCUAAGUGUUCCGGAGCAGUAGCAAGCUACCAUGGCUCAGUGGAAGCACUAGGAGACAUUUCCCGGUAAGAGAGGCUACUAAGGAUAAACAACUAGAUAGUCAGAUCCCACACAUACCAAGCAUUUCAAUCAUACACACAAUAUGCUCGAUAUGUGCAAAUACAACAAGGCAUCACAACAUGACUCUACAACACAAGUACUUUAUUUAAAGGCUCAGAGAGCCAUACAUAGUAUACACACAAGUACGGGUCACAUGACCCACAUUCAAGUAAUACAAGCAUACAAGCCAACAGCGGAAGUAACUUGUCUGAGUAGAGACAACUAGUAAAAUAAAAGAGGCCUGGGUAAGCCUAGCUAUACUACAUGGUCCUUCACAAGCUCAGGAUCACCACCUGGGCCUCAGUCUACUCAUCGAUGUCAACGUCUACGAAGAACCUGUCAGAAGGGGUUGUAGCAUCUUCUGUAAAAUGUAAAUUAGAGCAACAUGAGUACAAAGGUACUCAGCAAGACUUACAUCAGAUCCUACAUACAUGCACAUUAUCAAGAAGGGUUGGUGGGGUUAUUGCAGCAAGCCAGCUUCGACUCUUGGCUAAGCUAUCCUAUGAGACUCCAACUUGAAAUGGUUUUGCACACACGAGUCCACUACUCACCACUUCAAUACACAACCGAGGAUUCACCUCCGUCUUCCUACGGAAGAGCCAUCCUCGGCACUCACAAUUAUCUUGAGGCUUUUAGUAGUUUCCAUUUACUUGUCUAUGAACUGUUAUAGGCAACACAGAAGUCCUUUACCGCGGACACGGCUAUUCGAAUAGAUCAUUUAUAACCCUGCAGGGGUGUACUUCUUCAUACAUGUUUCCACCACUUAGCAUCUGCACACGACAUGUGCUCGGCAGACUUCAAGCGAAAGCGAAAGCCUAAACACUCAAGUCUCUAGUCCAGGUUUAUCGCCUAUUCAGGUUCCAUCCGCAGGGAGUCCGUCCGAGGUUUCCACAUACGGCCCCGAACGAUGUGUAUAGGGUUCCGUGACACCAAACAGGCGCCCGGUAUACCCGGCCACGUGCCUACCGCAUCACAGCCCACCCCUUCGAUCAGCGUUGCGCACGACCUCCAGCAUACUACAAACACCAGAAACUACUUGCAACUCCUGGACAGAGGACAAGGGUGAUUAAGAAGUCGAGCAGGGUCAUAUUUCAGGGCCCAAUGCAUGGUAGUAGCUGAACCAUGGAUCACAAACACAGAACUCAGUUCCUGAGGACGGCUUCAAUGAGACAAUCCACCAUGUACUCCUACAUGGCCUCUCAUAGCUACCUUUACCAAAUCCUGUUCACACACUUAGCUCACACUCAGUAGAAUAUGUUCACGCACCUCUGAUUCAUCCCCGAUGAAUCAGACCUGACUCAACUCUAAGCAAUAGCAGGCAUGACAAACAAACAUGAAUGAGUAGGCACAACAGGGCUCAAACAACUCCUACUCAUGCUAGUGGGUUUCAUCUAUUUACUGUGGCAAUGAUAGGUCCUGCAGAGGAUAAAGGGGUUCAGCUACCGCAGCAAGUAACAGAUGAAUCAUUGCUGUCCUAAUGCAGUAAAAGAGAGCAGGAGCGAGAGAGUAGGAUUGUAUCGAAAUGAACAAGGGGGUUUUGCUUGCCUGGCACUUCUGAAGAUAGUAUACUUCUUCAUCGGUGUCAGCGAUCACAACGUCGGUACAACGUCUACCGAGGGGGAACAACACUGGCAAACAGAGAAGAAACACGAUCAAUGCAAUGCACAAUAUGAUGCCUGCUAUGACAUGGCAAUAUGAAUGUGUUUUGGGCUAAUGCAAGCUAGAACAGAUUGAGAUGAGUCCAUUUGAACCAAAGAUUCAAAUGCAAACCCAUUUUAAGAGGUCAUAAUAGUGUAUUAACUUGUUUCACCUAAACAGCAAGGUUAAUGUGUUCUAACAUGCAUGAAACCAGUGCAGAUGGAUAGAUUGGAUUUUUUUGAUCAUUUUUCAUAUAUAAAUUAUUUCAUUCUAAGUUACGGUUAAAUUUCUAUGAAUUUUAGAAGUUUAGAGCAUUUUCUGGAAUUUCCUGUAUAAAAAUAAAUCUAGAAAAUACUUAUUGCGUCAGCAUUGCGUCACUCUGACGUCAGCAGUCAACGAGGCCGGUCCAGGUCAAACCUGACGUGUGGGGUCCACACAUCAGUGACACGGUUAACCAACAGGGUUAAUUAAAAUUAAACUAAACCUAAUCUAGUUUAGUUAAGGCCUGGGCCCACAUGUCAGAGGCUAACCUAACUAACUAAGUUAAUUACCGCUCAUUAAUCUAUCGCUUAAUUAAGCAGGGGCCUGGCCCACACGUCAAUGAGUCAGGGGGAAGUCAAACCCCGGUCAAACCCGCCGGACCUGGUCCACGGCUCGUCGCCGGCGACGACAGAGACAACGAGGCGGCUCGGGAAUGCUCUACAGGGCACCGUUUUACUCGUGGUUUGCGGCUACGGCUAGCUAGCAAUGCGGCGCAUCUAAUGGAGCGAAUGGGUGGAGCUGGGGUGGCCUGAGCCGACGGCGGCGAGCUCCAAGGCGGCGGCCGGAGUUCGGGCAAUGACGGGUUUGGCGCCACAGUGCAUGGGAGGAGGAGCUGGUGGGCGCUACGGGCUCUUGGGGGUGCACUGGGUGUAGUGACGCGCUCGGUUUGGACGGAGGUGAACUAAAAUGACGACAGCGACAAGUCUGGCACCAGUGAGGUUUCGGUCUCGACGGAAACGAGGGCUACGAUGAGCUAAUGGACAUGUGAGUAGGGGGGUCAGUAAAGGAGCUUACGGCGAGUGCAGAGGUGGCCUCGGCGUGCUCGGGGAAGCACUGGAGCGAGCGGUGCGGCGAGAGGGAUCUCCGGCGGCCGGUGACGAAGAUGAUCAAGAUGGCGUCAAUCCAGGGCCUCCGGCGAUGCGUGGCUAGACGGAGAGGACGAGGGAGGCGUGGCGAUGCUCGUGGACACGUCGGAGAGGCUCGGGGUUGGCUGCGGCUGCGGCUAUGGCGAACGGCGGCGGCGGUGGCGUUCGGUGGUGAGAGGGAGAGAGAGUAGAGGAGGGGGAGGAGCAUGGGGAGAGUGAGAGAGAGCCACAGGGGUUGCGUGUCGACGUCCAUGGCAUCCAGAGGGACGUCGGGAGGCGGUGGAAAGCUGGAGGUGGCCGAGGGGCGUGGGCGUGAAUGGCGGCCACACGCCUCUCAUCCUACUGGCGAGAGGUGGGAGAUGACUGGCAGAUGGGCCUGGUGGGCUGCUACAGUGCCAGGCCGGCCAGGUAAGCGCCAGGUAUUCUCUCUCUCUCUCUCUUUUGUUAAUGUUUUUCUAUUUUUCUGUAACUUCAGGGCUUUAUUAAAAAUGCCAGGGCAUUUCCAAAAAUCAUGAAACUAAUCAUGGCUACUGUUUAGAAUAUAUCCAACAGUAAACAUUUUAGUUUAUGAUUAUUUGAGCAUUUAAAAUAUUUUAUAGCACUUAAAUGCCCAAAUGCAAAUACUAUAGGAUUUAAUUUAGAAAUCCAGAAUGGCCUAGAAAUAUGUGCAUGACAUUUGGCAGAGGUUUUCACCUUUGACCGAAAUCAUGAACUUUUCUAAAGGGCAUUUGGGAUCACUAAAAAUAUUAUUUUUUUGAACCUAGUUGAAUUCAUUUGGUGCUAGGGUUUCAACAAUCCCCAUUUCAAGUUUCAUGAAAUUUAAACAUGAUGCAUGGAUGCAAAGUCACUAGUUACGAGCAAACUCUAGGGCUGUGAUAACUCACCCCCACUAAACAAGAAUCUCGUCUUGAGAUUCAAGACGUGAGGUAAGAAGACAAAGGGGGCACAAAACCAACACAAUCUUCAUGAUCCAGGUUGCACCUCAUAAGGUUGUUGAUUCGUUGCAUACAUUGAUCUUGACAUCCUCGCUUUUGAGAUCUUCAUCCAUGCGAUGACGACGGAAAGGAACUCUACUAGGAUUGAUCUUCUCAAAGACCGAAUUAUACAAUCUCAACUCGCGGAGUGAGAUGUUGAAACACCUUGAGUUGAGACACAAAACACAUCGAGAGGGAUGGAAGAACAAACGACGGGGUUUGAUUUGGUGGGAAACAAUUCCACGCUUAGAAAGAUGGUGGAUGGUGUCAAGGUGGCGAGGAAAUAAUUGCCAUGAUCCCGUAACGGGGCACCUUAGGGAAGGUGACUCGUAGGUUUGUUACCUUAAGUGGCAAAAGGAAUUAUUUUUGAUUCAGAGAUCAUUGAAACUCUUUAUACCAGCCUAAGGCAAUUCACAACAAUCGUUUGGCAGAGUACAAAGGGAUGGCAUACCCGGACUAGAAUGGAUGAUGUGGACUACCUUGUUGAAGACAACGUAAUGAAUGCUUUUUGCUUAUCAUCGGAGGUGGAGGGGACCCAUGGUAGGACCACUUCUAAAGAUGAUCCUGAACAACAAUUGCUGAGAAGGGCAGUCCAAGGAGGAUUGGCACAAGGCGGUGCAAGCUGGGAACGAAAUGCAAAUGUCGGGAAUGUUCCAACCAUCAUAUCUGCCUGAGAUUCAGAUUUGGUUGGUGUUAGGACAUUCCAGACUCAUCAAGUCUAGGAAGAAAAAUGAAAGUUUGCAACACAAAUCGAUGAGAUGACGUCGCGAGAUUCUCGGGAGAUAAACUACGAUAGCAAGCUCCAAAACAUGAGCUGGUUCUGCUAAACAUGUGUGAACACGCUGUCCCAGACAAACAUGACCACAUAGUAGUCUUAAUAUAAAACACUACCGAGUUCAGGUGGGGAACCAUCAUUGCGGAUAACGAAGUCCUUGCAUAAGUCAUGAUUCUUAAGAAGGAGCUUCUUCUCCCUGAACAAAUCAAUCAGUGGCUUGGUGUGCUAGGGAUACGUAAGCAAUGAAGAUGAUCAGUCUAUCAGACCAUAGAAUACUUCGCACAUGCAUGACUGACUUGGGAUGAUCCCGGAGGGAACAAAACUAACUUUCUCAAAUUCACGGCGGCAACUUGCACCUAAUGCGCGUGAACUUGGAGAGAGUCACUUCUUACAUCCAAGCAUAUUCUUCAUGAACGAAACACGAAGAUAAUGCUUAUAUAGUUUCCAAUACUAGCUGAAGGUUCAACACGAAUCAUGGAAGAGAUAAAAAUGUUGCUGAUGGGCUCAACAACAAUUCAUCUAGGUUUCCAUAUAAGUGGAAUUCCACAAUUAUGUGAACAAGGCGAUAGCAUCGGUCAGACCAAAGGAUAUAACGGUGUAUGCCCGAGGAAACAACCACGGGUAAGACAACAUUACGAAUAUCGUUGGUUCUGAUUUGACUUGACAAUAGCCCAUGCUCAAAUCAGAGAUUGGUUACGAUAAUAGAUCCAACAACUGAUCACAGGGACCAAUCGAUGAAGAUAUCAUCUUUCUUCAACAUACAUACAAGAUAUCACUUAACAUGAACUAAGUCGGACAAGCUUUUAUCUUCCAACUCUCCAAGUUGAUGUAUAGCUUAACCAACUAGCUCAGGGGUAUCCAACACGGAUUCUUGGAGAAAGGGUGGUUUACAAGAAUAAACCAACUUGAUCAUGAACUCAACAUAGCGGUCAGGUGACGACCUAGUGAUACUUCCGAGAAGAUAAUCAGAAAAUCAGGAACCACCGGUAUGUUACUAAGCUCGAGAGAAAUCUUGCUUUUCAGGGCAAGACGAUAUGAUCAAAUGAGCAAGGGAUUGACAAAAUCCUAACUCAACGACCGAAGAGUGCACCGGAAAUAGGGACUAGAUAGCACAAUCAACCUUAGGGUGACGAUUCAAUAAUCAACACGCUAAGAAUGAGGUUAGCGUCCAUUUAACUACCAAGCAACGGAGUUGCUAGCAGUAUUGAUUUCACACACCAUGAUUCACUUGUCAGUAUUCCGGUUGCAACAACACGGAACCGAGGAGCGAAUGAUGAUGGCAAGAAGUAUCACUACUUCAAGAAUCCAUAAGGGAAGGUGCAAUUCUCAUGACGUUCCUGACAUAAAGUGGGUAAUACUUCAGGGUAGAACAGAACAAAAGCUGAAUUAGUAUUUGAUCUGCGAUUUACAACUGCUUUGACCCGAUCCUGGAUAUGGAUGAGGUACGGGAGUUUGUUUCUCCUAGUCAUUCUAGAAUAGAAUGGCUUGACAUACCACUAGAGUAAUAGGCAUCAAUGAACGAAUGCACGCAUACUCUUGACUAUCAAUUGAUAGAUGGGGUCGGAAUACAACUAAGGAGGGACAACCCAAACGAACUUACGAUCUUCUGAGUUGUGGAUGCACAUAUUAGUAUGUCGAGCAAAGAUCAACAUUUUUCUUCCGGAUAACCCAUGCGGAGAAGGUAGGACUGGCAGAUUCACAAUAUAGAAUCGAGAACGCAUCAAGAGCACUCUGGUUGUGAUCUUUCGGUUAAACGAGGAACUUCUGCCAUAAGUAGUUCAUGGUAUUUGGAAGAAGGAAAUACCACGGACCUCGAGGACUAAUGCAAAGGUUACUAAUUUCCUAAAGGAACUAGCAAACACUAUCAUCAUGAGUAAGUGGGGUGAAUCUCGGUUCAAGAACCCAGGAAUAGAAUACCUACUACUAAGUGGCAUCACGGGAUGCUUUCGAGAAUAAAGGCCAGAAUUAUCACACCGGGAACAAAUCAUGGCUAGAUUACUAGAUGAUCCCCUAGGACACCUAGGGUCAUAAUAAUAAUUCCAACAUAUAUGUCGAGGCAAUAGAAUACUUCAACUCAGCAAUUAGUGUGAUUAACCUGGCUCAAAGGAACAUCAAAACCAGAGGGAAAUGAUUUGCAAGUGCAUCAGAUUGUUUAGAAACCUGGGAUGACUCGGACAACAUAACGGCUGUAAAUGCUCAAAAGGAAUUUUGAGACAUUUUGCAAAGAGUUGCAUAGACACUCAACAAUAUCAUAUCAAGGUUCUGGGUCCAACUUAGCAACAUAAUAGGGUAGUAGAACUGAACUAGGCUUAUAAUCAUCAAACCAAUAAGGUACUACUGAUUAGUAACACGUGAACCUGAUAGAGAGAAAAGAUCCUAAUCCUUAACCCCCGGUGGAAGAAUGGACUGACUCAGAUCAGAAUGCCAUGAGGUAAAGAAGUAAAAAGAGCCUUACGUACCAUCCCACAAUCAAUUCCCCUACAUAUAACUAAAGCAUUUCUAGACUCAACAUCGACCAGUUUGGCUUGGUAAUCCUACAGGCAGUCAGGCUCUUAUACCAAAGCUGUCAGGUCCUGAACGAUGUGUACAGGGUUCCGUGACACCAAACGGGCGCCCGGUAUACCCGGCCACGUGCCUACCGCAUCACAGCCCACCCCUCCGGUCAGCGUUGCGCACGGCCUCCAGCAUACUACAAACACCAGAAACUACUUGCAACUCCUGGACAGAGGACAAGGGUGAUUAAGAAGUCGAGCGGGGUCAUAUUUCAGGGCCCAAUGCAUGGUAGUAGCUGAAUCAUGGAUCACAAACACAUAACUCAGUUCCUGAGGGCGGCUUCAAUGAGACAACCCACCAUGUACUCCUACAUGGACUCUCACCGCUACCUUUACCAAAUCGUGUUCACACACUUAGCUCACACUCAGUAGAAUAUGUUCACGCACCUCUGAUUCAUCCCCGGUGAAUCCGACUUAACUCAACUCUAAGCAAUAGCAGGCAUGACAAACAAACAUGAAUGAGUAGGCACAACAGGGCUCAAACAACUCCUACUCAUGCUAGUGGGUUUCAUCAAUUUACUAUGGCAAUGACAGGUCAUGCAGAGGAUAAAGGGGUUCAGCUACCGCAGCAAGUAAUAGAUGAAUCGUUGUUGUCCUAAUGCAGUGAAAGAGAACAGGAGCGAUAGAGUAGCAUUGUAUCGGAAUGAACAAGGGGGUUUUGCUUGCCUAGCACUUCUGAAGAUAGUAUACUUCUUCAUCGGUGUCAUCGAUCACAACAUCGGUACAACGUCUACCGAGGGGGAACAACACCGGCAAACAGAGAAGCAACAUGAUCAAUGCAAUGCACAAUAUGAUGCAUGCUAUGACAUGGCAAUAUGAAUGUGUUUUGGGCUAAUGCAAGCUAGAACAGAUUGAGAUGAGUCCAUUUGAACCAAAGAUUCAAAUGCAAACCCAUUUUAAGAGGUCAUAAUAGUGUAUUAACUUGUUUCACCUAAACAGCAAGGUUAAUGUGUUCUAACAUGCAUGAAACCAGUGCAGAUGGAUAGAUUGGAUUUGUUUGAUCAUUUUUCAUAUAUAAAUUAUUUCAUUCUGAGUUACGGUUAAAUUUCUAUGAAUUUUAGAAGUUUAGAGCAUUUUCUGGAAUUUCCUGUAUAAAAAUAAAUCCAGAAAAUACUUAUUGCGUCAGCAUUGCAUCGCUCUGACGUCAACAGUGAACGAGGCCAGUCCAGGUCAAACCUGACGUGUGGGGUCCACACGUCAGUGACACGGUUAACCAACAGGGUUAAUUAAAAUUAAACUAAACCUAAUCUAGUUUAGUUAAGGCCUGGGCCAACAUGUCAGAGGCUAACCUAACUAAGUUAAUUACAGCUAAUUAAUCUAUCGCUUAAUUAAGCAGGGGCCUGGCCCACACGUCAGUGAGUCAGGGGGAAGUCAAACCCCGGUCAAACGGGGUCAAACCCGCCGGACCUGGUCCACGGCUCAUCGCCGGCGACGACAGAGACGAUGGGGCGGCUCGUGAAUGCUCUACAGGGCACCGUUUUACUCAUGGUUUGUGGCUACGGCUAGCUAGCAAUGCGGCGCAUCUAAUUGAGCGAACGGGAGGAGCUAGGGUGUCCUGAGCCGACGGCGGCGAGCUCCAAGGCGGCGGCCGGAGUUCGGGCAACGACGGGUUCGGUGCCAUAGUGCAUGGGAGGAGGAGCCGGUGGGCGCUACGGGCUCCUGGGGGUGCACUGGGUGUAGUGACGCGCUCGGUUUGGACGGAGGCGAACUAAAAUGACGACGGCAACAAGUCCGGCGCCGGUGAGGUUUCGGUCUCGACGGAAACGAGGGCUACGAUGAGCUAAUGGACAUGUGAGUAGGGGGGUUAGUAGAGGAGCUUACGACGAGUGCAUAGGUGGCCUAGGCGUGCUCGGGGAAGCACCGGAGCGAGCGGUGCAGCGAGAGGGAUCUCCGGCAGCCGGCGACGAAGAUGAUGAAGAUGGCGUCGAUCCAGGGCCUCCGGCGAUGCGUUGCUGUGCGGAGAGGACUAGGGAGGCGUGGCGAUGCUCGUGGACACGUCGGAGAGGCUCGGAGUUGGCUGCGGCUGCGGCUAUGGCGAACGGCGGCGGCGGUGGCGUUCGGUGGUGAGAGGGAGAGAGAGUAGAGGAGGGGGAGGAGCAUGGGGAGAGUGAGAGAGAGCCACAGGGGUUGCGUGUCGACGUCCAGGGCAUCCAGAGCGACGUCGGGAGGCGGUGGAAAGCUGGAGGUGGCCGAGGCGCGUGGGCGUGAAUGGCGGCCACACGCCUCUCGUCCUACUGGCGAGAGGUGGGAGAUGACUGGCAGAUGGGCCUGGUGGGCUGCUACAGUGCCAGGCCGGCCAGGUAAGCGCCAGAUAUUCUCUCUCUCUCUUUUGUUAAUGUUUUUUUAUUUUUCUGUAACUUCAGGGCUUUAUUAAGAAUGCCAGGGCAUUUCCAAAAAUCAUGAAACUAAUCAUGGCUACUGUUUAGAAUAUAUCCAACAGUAAACAUUUUAGUUUAUGAUUAUUUGAGCAUUUAAAAUAUUUUAUAGCACUUAAAUGCCCAAAUGCAAAUACUAUAGGAUUUAAUUUAGAAAUCCAGAAUGGCCUAGAAAUAUGUGCAUGACAUUUGGCAGAGGUUUUCACCGUUGACAGAAAUCAUGAAAUUUUCUAAAGGGCAUUUGGGAUCACUGAAAAUAUAUAUUUUUUGAACCUAGUUGAAUUCAUUUGGUGCUAGGGUUUCAACAAUCCCCAUUUCAAGUUUCAUGAAAUUUAAACAUGAUGCAUGGAUGCAAAGCCACUAGUUACAAGCAAACUCUGGGGCUAUGACAAAAGCACUCCUACGGUAUCGGUAUCCGGGAGUUACACGAUCUCAUGGUCUAAGGAGAAGAUACUUGACACUGGAAAAGCUCUAGCAAACGAACUACACGAUCUUGUGCUAUGCUUAGGAUUGGGUCUUGUCCAUCACAUCAUUUUCCUAAUGAUGUGAUCCCGUUAUCAACGACAUCUAAUGUCCAUAGUCAGGAAACCAUGACUAUCUGUUGAUCAACGAGCUAGUCAACUAGAGGCUCACUAGGGACAUAUUAUGGUCUAUGUAUUCACACGUGUAUUACGAUUUCCGGAUAAUACAAUUAUAGCAUGAAUAAAGACAAUUAUCAUGAACAAGGAAAUAUAAUAAUAAUCCUUUUAUUAUUGCCUCUAGGGCAUAUUUCCAACAACAUAUUCUACGAAGAUCUUUAUCGGUCAAACCACAUAACAACAUAGGUUCUUCCCUUUGUCAUCGGUAUGUUACUUGCCUGAGAUUCGAUCGUCGGUAUCUCAAUACCUAGUUCAAUCUCGUUACCGGCAAGUAUGUUUACUCAUUCCAUAAUGCAUGAUCCCGCAACUAACUCAUUAGUCACAUUGCUUGCAAGGCUUAUAGUGAUGUGCAUUACCGAGAGGGCCCAGUGAUACCUCUCCGACAAUCGGAGUGACAAAUCCUAACCUCGAUCUAUGCCAACUCAACAAGUACCAUCGGAGACACCUGUAGAGCACCUUUAUAAUCCCCCAGUUACGUUGUGACGUUUGGUAGCACACAAAGUGUUCCUCUGGUAUUUGGGAGUUGCAUAAUCUCAUAGUCAUAGGAACACGUAUAAGUCAUGAAGAAAGCAAUAGCAACAAACUAAACGAUCAAGUGCUAAGCUAACGAAAUGGGUCAAGUCAAUCACAUCAUUCUCUAAUGAUGUGAUCCCGUUAAUCAAAUGACAACUGUCUAUGGUUAGGAAACACAACCAUCUUUGAUUCAACGAGCUAGUCAAGUAGAGGCAUACUAGUGACACUUUGUUUGUCUAUGUAUUCACACAUGUACUAAGUUUCCGGUUAGUACUAUUCUAGCAUGAAUAAUAAACAUUUAUCAUGAUAUAUGGAAAUAUAAAUAACAACUUUAUUAUUGCCUCUAGGGCAUAUUUCCUUCAAAAUUUAGAGAUGACAAACAAAGCUUAAGUAGCAUCUGUUCUACUUGAUUGUAGAAAUUUCUUUUACCUGUAGAAUAACUCGGUUGUUAUUUCUUUAAACAUGAAGUGUGAUAUUAACUUAUCUCAAUCUAGGAACACAAAGCAAAUAUUACAUGUGCUUCUAUGGACUCCAAGCAGAUGAGAAAUCAUUUUGUCUAGAAGUUCCUUAGAAGGAUAUAAUAGUUUUGACCUAAACAAAUUUACUAUUGUACUCGUGUCUUACAAAGUUAAAGCUGAAAAUCAACAUAACCAUUGGACCCUUUGAAAGACAAGUGUAGGAAAUAAAUAGUAGGAUAUAAAUUUGAGCAGAAUGUUUGAUCAAAUACUGAACAAAUAACCCAGCAAACUACUAAAACUCGUCUAUUCUACCUUAUAUGAACUGUCACGAUGAUAAAGCUAUGAUUUUUUUUGGCAAAUAAGUAUCCUAGAACUAAUACAAGUUCAAACAAAUCAGCCACAGAUCCCCGAGCCCAUCCAACCAGAUAGCUGAAACUGAAAGAAGCAUUAGCUCGAUUAGAGCACCUACAGCGGAACUUGACAAAUUUGACCCCUGAAACGCCCGCGGACACGCGUGUUAGUAGACAUAAACCAAUCUUUAAGCAGAGCACGUCCGGCAGUCGGAUGCUCCCCAAAGUGUUGGUCCAGUCGCCGGCAAGGUAGAGUAGGGCAUGGGAUACAAGGCGGCUCACGGGACUCGAGGCGCCACCGUCCCCCAUUCCCAACUCUUCUCAGUCGGAACCCGGACAGUGCCGGUGGACGUCAGAUCGAUGAUGGAUCCUUCCUGGGACGAGCCAGCAACAUCCACCACCACGUGGUUGUGCAGCCCGAACUAGUGCACAAUAUGGGGAGCCGGAAAAUACGACUCCGCCUCCGCAACGCCCACCACCGCGAGGGCUGUCGCUGCCUCCCGCACCCGCUGCAUUGCAUGGCAGGAGCGCCGAACUAUGUUUUGCAUCGGGCGACGCCCAUGGUGCGUCCAUGGCCUCAGUGCGCCAAUGGAGGGGCUGCGCGUCCGCCACCCAUUCAAACGCCAGAUGGACCGCACCACCUUUGUGUUGGAAAUAUGCCCUAGAGGAAAUAAUAAAAGGAUUAUUAUUGUAUUUCCUUGUUCAUGAUAAUUAUCUUUAUUCAUGCUAUAAUUGUAUUAUCCAGAAAUCGUAAUAGACGUGUGAAUACAUAGACCAUAAUAUGUCCCUAGUGAGCCUCUAGUUGACUAGCUCGUUGAUCAACAGAUAGUCAUGGUUUCCUGACUAUGGACAUUAGAUGUCGUUGAUAAUGGGAUCACAUCAUUAAGAUAAUGAUGUGAUGGACAAGACCCAAUCCUAAGCAUAGCACAAGAUCGUGUAGUUCGUUUGCUAGAGCUUUUCCAAUGUCAAGUAUCUUCUCCUUAGACCAUGAGAUCGUGUAACUCCCGGAUACCGUAGGAGUCCUUUGGGUGUACCAAACGUCACAACGUAACUGGGUGACUAUAAAGGUGCACUACAGGUAUCUCCGAAAGUGUUUGUUGGGUUGACACCGAUCGAGACUGGGAUUUGUCACUCCGUAUGACGGAGAGGUAUCGCUGGGCCCACUCGGUAGUGCAUCAUCAUAAUGAGCUCAAAGUGACCAAGUGUCUGGUCACGGGAUCAUGCAUUACGGUACGAGUAAAGUGAAUUGCCGGUAACGAGAUUGAACGAGGUAUUGGGAUACCGACGAUCGAAUCUCGGGCAAUUAAAAUACCGAUUGACAAAGGGAAUUGAAUACGUGGUUGCUUGAAUCCUCGACAUCGUGGUUCAUCCGAUGAGAUCAUCGAGGAGCAUGUGGGAGCCAACAUGGGUAUCCAGAUCCCGCCGUUGGUUAUUGACUGGAGAGCCGUCUCAGUCAUGUCUACGUGUCUCCCGAAUCCGUAGGGUCUACACACUUAAGGUUCGGUGACGCUAGGGUUGUAGAGAUAUGAGUAUGCAGCAAACCGAAAGUUGUUCGGAGUCCCGGAUGAGAUCCCGGACAUCACGAGGAGUUCCGAAUGGUCCGGAGAUAAAGAAUUAUAUAUAGGAAGUGCAUUUUCAGCGAUCGGGAGAGUUUCGGGGGUCACCGGUAUUGUACCGGGACCACCGGAAGGGUCCCGGGGGUCCACUGGGUGGGGCCACCUAUCCCGGAGGGCCCCGUGGGCUGAAGUGGGGAGGGGACCAGCCCAUAGUGGGCUGGUGCGACCCCCUUGCCCCACCUACGCCUAGGGUUGGAAACCCUAGGGUGGGGGGCGCCUCCACUUGCCUUGGGGGGCACUCCACCCCCCUGGCCGCCGCCCCCUUGGGAGAUCCCAUCUCCAGGGCCGGCGCCCCCCCAGGGGGCCUAUAUAAAGGAGGGGGAGGGGAGGGCAGCCGCACCCUGAAGUCUUGGCGCCUCCCUCCCCCCUUGCUACACCUCCUCCUCCCGUAGUCGCUUGGCGAAGCCCUGCCGGAACUCUGCUGUAUCCACCACCACGCCGUCGUGCUGCUGGAUCUUCAUCAACCUCUCCUUCCCCCUUGCUGGAUCAAGAAGGAGGAGACGUCACGCUGACCGUACGUGCGUUGAACGCGGAGGUGCCGUCCGUUCGACGCUAGGAUCUCUGGUGAUUUGGAUCACGACGAGUACGACUCCCUCAACCCCGUUCUCUUGAACGCUUCCGCUCGCGAUCUACAAGGGUAUGUAGAUGCACUCCCCUCUCUCGUUGCUAGAUGAACUCAUAGAUUGAUCUUGGUGAACGUAGGAAAUUUUUUAUUUUAUGCAACGUUCCCCAACAGUGGCAUCAUGAGCUAGGUCUAUGCGUAGUUCUCUAUUGCACGAGUAGAACACAAAUCUGUUGUGGGCGUAGAUGUUGUCAACUUUCUUGCCACUACUAGUCUUAUUUUGCUUCAGCGGUAUUGUGGGAUGAAGUGGCCCGGACCGACCUUACACGUACGCUUACGUGACACAGGUUCCACCGACUGACAUGCACUAGUUGCAUAAGGUGGCUAGCGGGUGUCUGUCUCUCCCACUUUAGUUGGAGCGGAUUCGAUGAAAAGGGUCCUUAUGAAGGGUAAAUAGAAGUUGACAACUCACGUUGUGGCUUUUUUGUUGGUAAGAAAACAUUCUUGCUAGAACCCUAUUGCAGCCACGUAAAAGAUGCAACAACAAUUAGAGGACGUCUAACUUGUUUUUGAAGCAAUUGCCUUGUGAUGUGAUAUGGCCAAAAGUUGUGAUGAAUGAUGAAUGAUAUAUUGUGAUGUAUGAGAUCAUGUUCUUGUAAUAGGAAUCACGACUUGCAUGUCGAUGAGUAUGAAAACCGGCAGGAGCCAUAGGAGUGGUCUUAAUUAUUGUAUGACCUGCGUGUCAAUGAUUUAACGCCAUGUAAUUACUUUACUUUAUUGCUAAACCGUUAGCCAUAGUAGUAGAAGUAAUAGUUGGCGAGCAACUUCAUGGAGGCACGAUGAUGGAGAUCAUGAUGAUGGAGAUCAUGGUGUCAUGCCGGUGACAAAGAUGAUCAUGGAGCCCCGAAGAUGGAGAUCAAAGGAGCUAUAUGAUAUUGGCCAUAUCAUGUCACUACUAUAUAAUUGCAUGUGAUGUUUAUUAUGUUUAUGCAUCUUCUUUACUUAGAACGACUGUAGUAAAUAAGAUGAUCCCUUAUAAUAAUUUCAAGAAAGUGUUCUCCCUAACUGUGCGUCGUUGCUAAAGUUCGUCGUUUCGAAGCACCACGUGAUGAUCGGGUGUGAUAGAUUCCUACGUUCACAUACAACGGGUGUAAGACAGUUUUACACAUGCAAAACACUUAGGUUAAACUUGACGAGCCUAGCAUGUAUAUACAUGGCCUCAGAACACAGAGACCGAAAGGUCGAACAUGAGUCAUAUGGAAGAUACGAUCAACAUGGAGAUGUUCACCAAUGAUGACUAGUCCGUCUCACGUGAUGAUCGGACACGUCCUAGUCGACUCGGAUCGUGUAACACUUAGAUGACUAGAGGGAUGUCAAAUCUGAGUGGGAGUUCACUAAAUUAGAUGAACUUAAUUAUCAUGAACUUAGUCUAAAAUCUUUGCAAAAAUGUCUUGUAGAUCAAAUGGCCAACGCUCAUGUCAACAUGAACUUCAACGAGUUCCUAGAGAAAACCAAGCUGAAAGAUGAUGGCAGCAACUAUAUGGACUGGGUCCAGAACCUGAGGAUCAUCCUCAUAGCUUCCAAGAAAGCAUAUGUCCUAGAAGGACCACUAGGUGAUGCACCCAUCCCAGAGAACCAAGAUGUUAUGAACGCUUGGCAGUCACGUGCUGAUGAUUACUCCCUCGUUCAGUGCGGCAUGCUUUACAGCUUAGAACCGGGUCUCCAAAAGCGUUUUGAGAAACACGGAGCAUAUGAAAUGUUCGAGGAGCUGAAAAUGGUUUUCCAAGCUCAUGCCCGGGUCGAGAGAUAUGAAGUCUCCGACAUGUUCUAUAGUUGUAAGAUGGAGGAAAAUAGUUCUGUCAGUGAGCACAUACUCAAAAUGUCUGGGUUGCACAACUGCCUAACCCAGCUGGACAUCAACCUCCCGGACGAGGCGGUCAUUGACAGAAUCCUUCAGUCGCUCCCACCAAGCUACAAGAGAUUUGUGAUGAACUACAAUAUGCAGGGGAUGGUGAAAACUAUUCCUGAAGUAUUUUCAAUACUGAAGUCUGCAGAGGUAGAAAUCAAGAAAGAACAUCAAGUGUUGAUGGUCAAUAAAACCACCAAGUUCAAGAAGGGCAAGGGUAAGAAAAACUUCAAGACGGACGGCAAGGAUGUUGCCGCACCCGGUAGGCCAGUUGCCGGGAAGAAGUCAAAGAAUGGACCCAAGCCUGAGACUGAGUGCUUUUAUUGCAAAAGGAAGGGUCACUGGAAGCGGAACUGCCCCAAAUAGUUAGCGGACAAGAAGGCCGGCAACACUAAAGGUAUAUGUGAUAUACAUGUAAUUGAUGUGUACCUUACCAGUACUCGUAGUAACUCCUGGGUAUUUGAUACCGGUGCCGUUGCUCAUAUUUGUAACUCACAGUAGGAGCUGCGGAAUAAGCGGAGACUGGCGAAGGACGAGGUGACGAUGCGCGUCGGGAAUGGUUCCAAGGUCGAUGUGAUUGCCGUCGGCACGCUGCCUCUACAUUUACCCACGGGAUUAGUUUUAAACCUCAAUAAUUGUUAUUUAGUGCCAAGUUUGAGCAUGAACAUUGUAUCUGGAUCUCGUUUAAUACGAGAUGGCUACUCAUUUAAAUCCGAGAAUAAUGGUUGUUCUAUUUAUAUGAGAGAUAUGUUUUAUGGUCAUGCCCCGAUGGUCAAUGGUUUAUUCUUAAUGAAUCUCGAACGUAAUGUUACACAUAUUCAUAGUGUGAAUACCAAAAGAUGUAAAGUUGAUAACGAUAGUCCCACAUACUUGUGGCACUGCCGCCUUGGUCAUAUUGGUGUCAAGCGCAUGAAGAAGCUCCAUGAUGAUGGACUUUUAGAGUCUGUCGAUUAUGAAUCAUUUGACACAUGCGAACCAUGCCUCAUGGGCAAAAUGACCAAGACUCCGUUCUCCGGAACAAUGGAGCGAGCAACCAACUUAUUGGAAAUCAUACAUACUGAUGUGUGUGGUCCAAUGAGCGUUGAGGCUCGCGGAGGAUAUCAUUAUGUUCUCACUCUCACUGAUGACUUGAGUAGAUAUGGGUAUGUCUACUUGAUGAAACACAAGUCUGAGACCUUUGAAAAGUUCAAGGAAUUUCAGAAUGAGGUAGAGAAUCAACAUGACCGAAAGAUAAAGUUCCUACGAUCAGAUCGUGGAGGAGAAUAUUUAAGUCACGAAUUUGGUACGCACUUAAGGAAAUGUGGAAUCAUUCCACAACUCACGCCGCCUGGAACACCUCAGCGUAACGGUGUGUCCGAAUGUCGUAAUCGCACUCUAUUGGAUAUGGUGCGAUCUAUGAUGUCUCCUACCGAUUUACUGCUAUCAUUUUGGGGAUACGCUCUAGAGACAGCUACAUUCACUUUAAACAGGGCUCCGUCUAAAUCCGUUGAGACGACACCGUAUGAAUUAUGGUUUGGGAAGAAACCUAAGCUAUCGUCUCUAAAAGUUUGGGGAUGCGAUGCUUAUGUCAAGAAACUUCAACCUGAAAAGCUCGAACCCAAGUCGGAAAAAUGCGUCUUCAUAGGAUACCCUAAGGAAACCAUUGGGUAUACCUUCUACUUAAGAUCCGAGGGCAAGAUCUUUGUAGCCAAGAACGGAUCCUUUCUGGAAAAAGAGUUUCUCUCGAAAGGAGUAAGUGGGAGGAAAGUAGAACUCGAUGAAGUAGUACCUCUUGAACCGGAAAGUAGUGGAGCUCAGGAAAAUGUUCCUGUGGUGCCUACACCGACUAGAGAGGAAAUUAAUGAUGAUGAUCACAGUACUUUGGAUCAAGUUGCUACUGAACUUCGUAGGUCCACAGGGACACAUUCCAAACCAGAGUGGUAUGGCAACCCUGUCCUGGAAAUCAUGUUUUUAGACAACGGUGAACCUUCGAACUAUGAAGAAGCGAUGGCGGGCCCAGAUUCCAACAAAUGGCUUGAAGGCAUGCAAUCCGAGAUAGAAUCCAUGUAUGAAAACAAAGUAUGGACUUUGACAGACUUGCCCGAUGAUCAGCGAGCGAUAGGAAACAAAUGGAUCUUUAAGAAGAAGACAGACGCGGAUGGUAAUGUUACCAUCUAUAAAGCUCGACUUGUCGCUAAGGGUUAUCGGCAAGUUCAAGGGGUUGACUACGAUGAAACUUUCUCUCCCGUAGCAAAGCUGAAGUCCGUCUGAAUCAUGUUAGCAAUUGUCGCAUACUAUGAUUAUGAGUUAUGGAAGAUGGACGACAAAACGGCAUUCCUUAACGGGCAUCUUAAGGAAGAACUGUAUAUGAUGCAGCCGGAGGGUUUUGUCGAUCCUAAGAAUGAUAAUAAGGUAUGCAAGCUCCAGCAAUCCAUUUAUGGGCUGGUGCAAGCAUCUCGGAGUUGGAACAUUCGCUUUGAUGAGAUUUUCAAAGCGUUUGGGUUUAUGAAGACUUAUGGAGAAGCCUGCGUUUACAAGAAAGUGAGUGGGAGCUCUGUAGCAUUUCUCAUAUUAUAUGUAGAUGACAUACUUUUGAUGGGAAAUGAUAUAAAACUUUUGGACAGCAUUAAGGCCUACUUGAAUAAGUGUUUUUCAAUGAAGGACCUUGGAGAAGCUGCUUACAUAUUAGGCAUCAAGAUCUAUAGGGAUAGAUCGAGACGCCUCAUAGGUCUUUCACAAAGCACAUACCUUAAUAAAAUAUUGAAGAAGUUUAAAAUGGAUCAGUCCAAGAAAGGGUUCUUGCCUGUAUUGCAAGGUGUGAAGUUGAGCUUGGCUCAAUGCCCGACCACGGCAGAAGAUAAAGAAGAGAUGAGUGUCAUCCCCUAUGCCUCAACCAUAGGAUCUAUUAUGUAUGCCAUGUUGUGCACCAGACCUGAUGUAAACCUUGCCGUAAGUUUGGUAGGAAGGUACCAAAGUAAUCCCGGCAAGGAACACUGGACAGCGGUCAAGAAUAUCCCGAAGUACCACAAAAGGACAAAGGACAUGUUUCUCGUUUAUGGAGGUGACAAAGAGCUCGUCGUAAAGGGUUACGUCGAUGCUAGCUUCGACACAGAUCUGGAUGACUCUAAGUCACAAACCGGAUACGUGUAUAUGUUGAAUCGUGGAGCAGUAAGCUGGUGCAGUUGCAAGCAGAGCGUCGUGGCGGGAUCUACAUGUGAAGCGGAGUACAUGGCAGCCUCGGAGGUAGCGCAUGAAGCAAUAUGGAUGAAGGAGUUCAUCACCGACCUAGGAGUCAUACCCAAUGCGUCGGGGCCAAUCACUCUCUUCUGUGACAACACUGGAGCUAUUGCCCUUGCCAAGGAGCCCAGGUUUCACAAGAAGACCAGGCACAUCAAGCGUCGUUUCAACUCCAUUCGUGAAAAUGUUCAAGAUGGAUACAUAGAUAUUUGCAAAGUACAUACGGAUCUGAAUAUCGCAGAUCCGUUGACUAAACCUCUUCUGCGAGCAAAACAUGAUCAACACCAGAACUCUAUGGGUGUUCGAUUCAUCACAAUGUAACUAGAUUAUUGACUAUAGUGCAAGUGGGAGACUGUUGGAAAUAUGCCCUAGAGGCAAUAAUAAAAGGAUUAUUAUUAUAUUUCCUUGUUCAUGAUAAUUGUCUUUAUUCAUGCUAUAAUUGUAUUAUCCGGAAAUCGUAAUACACGUGUGAAUACAUAGACCAUAAUAUGUCCCUAGUGAGCCUCUACUUGACUAGCUCGUUGAUCAACAUAUAGUCAUGGUUUCCUGACUAUGGACAUUAGAUGUCGUUGAUAAUGGGAUCACAUCAUUAGGAGAAUGAUGUGAUGGACAAGACCCAAUCCUAAGCAUAGCACAAGAUCGUGUAGUUCGUUUGCUAGAGCUUUUCCAAUGUCAAGUAUCUUCUCCUUAGACCAUGAGAUCGUGUAACUCCCGGAUACCGUAGGAGUGCUUUGGGUGUACCAAACGUCACAACGUAACUGGGUGACUAUAAAGGUGCACUACAGGUAUCUCCGAAAGUGUAUGUUGGGUUGACACGGAUCGAGACUGGGAUUUGUCACUCCGUAUGACGUAGAGGUAUCUCUGGGUCCACUCGGUAGUGCAUCAUCAUAAUGAGCUCAAAGUGACCAAGUGUCUGGUCACGGGAUCAUGCAUUACGGUACGAGUAAAGCGACUUGCCGGUAAAGAGAUUGAACAAGGAAUUGGGAUACCGAUGAUCGAAUCUCGGGCAAGUAAAAUACCGAUUGACAAAGGGAAUUGAAUACGGGGUUGCCUGAAUCCUCGACAUCGUGGUUCAUCCGAUGAGAUCAUCGAGGAGCAUGUGGGAGCCAACAUGGGUAUCUAGAUCCCGCUGUUGGUUAUUGACCGGAGAGCCAUCUCGGUCAUGUCUACGUGUCUCCCGAACCCGUAGGGUCUACACACUUAAGGUUCGGUGACGCUAGGGUUGUAUAGAUAUGAGUAUGCAGCAAACUGAAAGUUGUUCGGAGUCCCGGAUGAGAUCCCGGACGUCACGAGGGGUUCCGGAAUGGUCCGGAGAUAAAGAAUUAUAUAUAGGAAGUGCAGUUUCGGCCAUCGGGAGAGUUUCGGGGGUCACCGGUAUUGUACCGGGACCACCGGAAGGGUCCCUGGGGUCCACCGGGUGGGGCCACCAAUCCCGGAGGGCCCCGUGGGCUGAAGUGGGGAGGGGACCAGCCCCUGGUGGGCUGGUGCGCCCCCCUUGGGCCCCCCCUCCCGCGCCUAGGGUUGGAAACCCUAGGGUGGGGGGGGCGCCUCCACUUGCCUUGGAGGGCACUCCACCCCCUGGCCGCCGUCCCCUUGGGAGAUCCCAUCUCUAGGGCCGGCUCCCCCCCAGGGGUCCUAUAUAAAGGAGGGGGAGGGGAGGGCAGCCGCACCCUGAAGUCUUGGCGCCUCCCUCCCCCCUUGCUACACCUCCUCCUCCCGUAGUCGCUUGGCGAAGCCCUGCCGGAACUCUGCUGCAUCCACCACCACGUCGUCGUGCUGCUGGAUCUUCAUCAACCUCUCCUCCCCCCUUGCUGGAUCAAGAAGGAGGAGACGUCACACUGACCGUACGUGUGUUGAACGCGGAGGUGCCGUCCGUUCGGCGCUAGGAUCUCCGGUGAUUUGGAUCAUGACGAGUACGACUCCCUCAACCCCAUUCUCUUAAACGCUUCCGCUCGCGAUCUACAAGGGUAUGUAGAUGCACUCCCCUCUCUUGUUGCUAGAUGAACUCAUAGAUUGAUCUUGGUGAACGUAGGAAAUUUUUAUUUUAUGCAACGUUCCCCAACACUUUGGUGAGGCGGUGAUGGUACACCUAGCGCCGGAUCCAUGCAUCAUUUGGGCGGACGCAUUGGAUUCCCCGCGGAAGGAGUUCGAGUGUUGCCGUUGCCAUCGGGCAGCCUCCUCCCGGGAGCGGUGGAGCGCAAGCUGGAUGGCCAGCUCCUCCUAGGAGCCGCGUGGGAUGAGUUCGGGGUUGACGGAUCUGGAGGUGUAACACUGGGAUCCGCCUCCUGCCAUGCCGAAGAAGGCCAUAAGAUCGUCGAACGGGAGCUUGGGUGGCGGCAUAGAGUGGAGUAAAGUGGCUAGGGUUUGGUCCGGCAAGCGGAUGGGGAGGAAUAUAUGUGGGGUCGGGUGGGCCAGCGUGGACCGGGACCGACAUGGCGGACGCGCCUGGGCGCCGCAUAUUCUUCCUAGAUUUGGGCUGGAUAUCAGGGGUGCUGGUUAGCUUGGGCGUUUGAGGCCCAUCUGGAUAGUUUUUCUGUGACCUGACCGUUCGUCCGGGCGUUUGAGGUGGGUUUGGGACGCCCAGGUGUAAAUGCUCUUAGACCAUGUAGUACCUUGAGGAGGAUGGUGGGUCCAUGGAACAACUACAGCCUCUCCAUUUUGUUUGGGCGCAGGGCGAUAACGGAGUUAUCUCUACUCCUAAAGAGGGAGUCGUUAGUCUCCCUUCCACGGUUUUUUUGUCUUACCUCCCAUCUUUGUUUCAUUUUUUCCGUCUCUUUUUCCACCACCGUCUGUUUUUUCUCAUCUCCACCUGGCAUGUAACGAAAAAAAAUCUGUUUCAUAGGUCGAUUGUCAAGGUCCGAGAGCCGCCGCCACCUUCAUUGCGGACCUCUAGGUCGCCGUCCGGACACACCGCCGAGGUCCGCAAUCACCGACGUUGAGGUCCGAGAGGAGCUGCCGCCCCCUUCAUUCUGGGCCUGGACGCUUCAUGGUCCUCCUACCUCUCCCUUUCCUCUCCCCUUCUCUCCCGCUUCCAUCCUCACUCGCCGCCCCUGCCUCUCNNNNNNNNNNNNNNNNNNNNNNNNNNNNNNNNNNNNNNNNNNNNNNNNNNNNNNNNNNNNNNNNNNNNNNNNNNNNNNNNNNNNNNNNNNNNNNNNNNNNNNNNNNNNNNNNNNNNNNNNNNNNNNNNNNNNNNNNNNNNNNNNNNNNNNNNNNNNNNNNNNNNNNNNNNNNNNNNNNNNNNNNNNNNNNNNNNNNNNNNNNNNNNNNNNNNNNNNNNNNNNNNNNNNNNNNNNNNNNNNNNNNNNNNNNNNNNNNNNNNNNNNNNNNNNNNNNNNNNNNNNNNNNNNNNNNNNNNNNNNNNNNNNNNNNNNNNNNNNNNNNNNNNNNUCUCUCUCUCUCUCUCUCUCUCUCUUGUUUCCUACCCCACUGGUUCUACAAUGCUGGUCGUCGCCUUGGGUUGGCGAACCUAGCUACUGUGGGUUGGGAUUCAAAUGCCACAUCAUCUUUGGGACGCGGCCGUGACGGCUUGGCCUGAUGCCUGCGAAGUAGGGCGAGCAGAGACAACAUGAGACUGCGCCGCUGUGCUGUUCGCCGUGACGCGCUGUCACGCUGUGUAGAUGGAGGAUGCGUGCCCAAGCCUUGUUGUGCCUGUCUUCCCGUGCGGUAGUCGGGAUCUGGACUGGAUCGGGGUUGAGUUCGACACCACCGAACCCCGGCUUCCAGGAGACCAGGCGCCUCCUCUCCUCAUCACCCGUCUCACCAGAGGCAUGUGCAGAAUUCCGUACACCAUCUGCGCAAACAUGGUGGUCGACGACGCUCUGGAUGUGGUCUACGUGAGGACUAGGUUCCAUCAUUAACAUGUACCCUGGCAAGGUAUGUGCUAUGGGAUGUAAACUCUCGAUUUUAUCUUCAUUUUAGUUGCCUUCAUCUCAUGCUUUGUUCGUUCCAUAGGCAUUUGUCAUGAAUCUAUUUUCAGGAGGGUGAUGUUAACGAUUUCAAAAACUUGAUAGCAGGGUAUGGCUAUAGUUAUUGGUCAUGCAUUAUCGCGAGGCUUGACAAGCAUACCAUAAAAUGGUUUUUAUUUAUGCUCUCGUAGGUUAAACCAAUCUCUGUCAUUAUGAAAUUGGCAUAGCUGAACAUGAUCAGGACUUCAGCAGGGCAGGGUCAUUACUUUGGAGUUUCAGCACUCAUAGUUGGUGAGUGCUUAUGUCCUAAAAUUUUGGAUGUGACUAAACAUAGGCUGGUAUGGCUAAUCUUUUUUGCUUUUCUGUCCUUGCUCUUCACGGAAUCUUCAGGUUUACGGAUUGAUAAUUGUGAUCUAUGUUUCAACCACUUCCCAAUGUUUUACUUGAUGAGAAGGUUCUAAUUUUAUUUUAUUUUAUUUCACUUGAUGAGAAGGGUCCAUGUUUCACCGACUUUGUACAAGUGUGUUUGCUUAGCUAGAUUUCUGCCCUUAUUUUCUAUUUGACAUCCCUCAAUCAUUUUCUGCAGAUUCACUUCGUUCGUAUUCUAUAUUGUUGUAAGUGCACCUAGGGAUAUUAUAGUAGUUCUUAUCUGCAGUUUACUACAACUGGUGACCACAUCUCCAUAUUAUUAUCUUUAAAAUGUACUUUCAAAAAGUAAACUAAUUAACGUUAACCUUCCGCUCUGUAGAAACCACAUAAUUUCAACUCAUUAAUCAUUUUUUAGCGGAAAGGCAGUAAUCAAUGAUGGCGAUUUAAACUGUACUCCUUAUAGUAUUGAUAUUCCCCAUGCACCGGUAUGUUCUCGUACAUCCGUGAAACUUCUGAGUCAAAAUGUUAUAUCCUUAUGUAUACAGUUCAUCAUUGGUUGUUACAGAAUUUCCCAGUGGGCACAACCUCAACCCACACCUCCCACCAGGAUCUUCUCUCUGCCGGAGCCAUCCUACCUGCAGCCAGCUCCCCCUCGUACGCCCUGAUCUCCACCUUGUGUGCUGGUCCAUUCAUCAUAGCUAGAAGGUAAUGACUAAUGAGCAUGUCAUCUCUGCCCCUCUCAAUUUCAUCCUUGUGUUGUUUAUUUUUCAGAGAAUGUGGUAUUAUGUAGCCCCUCUCUGUUGAUGAAUUGAAUGUAUAGAUUAUAUACUAGCAAAAGAGCCCGUGCGUUGCAACGGGAUAAUAAAACCGACGAAUUGUACUCGUGUGACUUGAGCUUUGGUUGGUUUCACACGCUUAUACUUCUUAGUUUUCUUGUAAAAUAAUAUGGCGGUAUUUAUACUAUUCAGGGUUGGUUAUCCAUCCGUCAGGUUAUUCAGGGCGUAAAUUUACGGAAAGAAGCAUAUUGUGACGGUGAAUGCGACGGAGUCAAUCCGUGCUUUAUUAUUUGGAAAAGAGAAAUAUGCCUAUGCAUUGCUACGGCUCUAGAAUAAACCUAUACAUGGUCAAAAUACAGGACAGCAACAUGUCUUCUUUUAGUUUUUUUCAAACCAUUAGAAAUAUGUUAGAUUUUACUUAAGUUUAGUUCCCUUAUUCCACCAUAAAGCAUUCCGGUUGAAAAGGAGAUGGCGUCUGUCAUUUACUUUCUAGAAAAACAUAGAGUCGAUAAACUUUCCUGUAUCUUCAGCCAUAGGUCCUUUACUCAUAUUUAAAAAAUUGUAAUAUUUAAUCCAAGCAAAAUUAUAUGAAUUACAGGAAAAAUUGUACUCAUGUGACUUGAGCUUUGGUUGGUUUCACACGCUCAUACUUCUUAGUUUUUUUGUAAAAUAAUACGGCGGUAUUUAUACUAUUCAGGGUUGGUUAUCCAUCCGUCAGGUUAUUCUUGAAGCUAGCUAGUAAUCACCAUGAGUUCAGUUGGCGUUCCAAGUAAUCACCAAGCCAAUCGACCGUGAGCAUCCGGACGUUAGCUGCGAAUGACAGACGGCUGGAUGGGCUAAUGAAGAUUAAACCUCAAUUUUGUACGCGGUAGUGCUGCAGACCUUCUGCAGUGAGACUUCGAUCAGAAGGACUUACCAGACAGGGGCACGGAGGAUUUAGAUAUCCUACUGCAGCUGCCGCUGCUCACCAAGGAGUUGCUCCCGUGCCGCUCGAAGGUCGCCAGCUCGGGGCAGAGCAGGAGCUUAAAGGCCAUGGACACGCCAGACCUGAAGGACGGCAGUGGCAAGGGUGGCGCAGGUGGGCGACGUUGCUCGCGCUCGGGGCGGACGCCGGCGGCGCUCGAUCUUGCCUAGAGCACGGAGGGGACAGGGGAGCAGGGGAAGAGGUAGGCAGUAAACCAGAUAGGAAUGGCACAUGUAUCGCAUCUGCCCUCGGCGGAGCUCCGCUCUGUCGUCAACAUCCGCGACGGACCCCACGAAGCCCAUCAUGUCGGCGUCCUUGAGGAACCGCCCCUGCUUGCCGCGGCCGACCGCAAUUUCGGAGAAAUUGGAGAUGGGGGAUCGUCCGCGGUUCGGCAACGGGUACGGGGAGGAGUCCGGGGCAAAGACUGUUCCGCUCGACCGGCCGGAGGAGCGCAGCCGCUCCGGUGGCCAGAGAUCGAGGGGGUGGCGGCGGUGUCCAACCCCCAACAGGCUGUGUUCUUUUUCUGACGGGACGAAAAAGGGGAAUCCCUUCUCUGGAACCGCUGUCGUUGCUCGACUGUGCUCCAAGCCGCCGCCGCCACCGCCGUCGCCUGAUUGCUCUCUCCCCGUCAACCCCCCCUCUCUCUCGAUCCAGCGACGCGUGUUUAGAUCGAAGCCCCCUGAAUUCCACGACCGAUCUGAUUCUAUCGAUCGAGGCAGCUCUGUUUCGAUUUGUAUAUGUACUUUUUAGGAGGAGUGUCCCGUGUUUGUUUCUGAUAGCCAUCUAUUUGUUUUAUGCUCAACAGGCCCAUUAGCCCUUGAUCUGGCCCAGGGAGUCUAGCGACCCAGGGAGUCUAGCGGGGAAGAGAGCGGGUGCGACCGAUUGGAUGCACACGACGUGGUUGGCCAUCUGAAUUAGUACCACCUUGAAUAUAUUUUAAAAUUAAAAUUGAAAACGUAAAAUCACGGAAAGAAGCGCAUUGUGACGGUGAAUCCGGAGACCCAAUCCAUGCUUUAUUAUUAGGGAGAGAUUACUAAAGAAAUCCGCCUUAAAAGGCGUUCCACUAAAAACGCAGUAGGAUCCUAUUUCAAGUUCCUUGCACUUAAACCGCAAAAGGGAAAGGCAAUUUUCCUAACUUUUCCCGUUAACGCAGAGCAGUCAGAUGAAUAACAGUAGGAUUGUUCAGUUUGUAUGCUCGUCCACUACUUCGGUUUAUUCAGGUUGCAUGAUACAGUAAUUUUGCAAAUGUGUCAGACUAUCUAUUUAGAUUAGCUAAUAGAAUUUAUUUCCACUAUGUGUUGUGCGGAGGAUAGAUCAGCAGGACUAAACAAUAUGUGUCUAACACCAUUUGCACAAUUCCCUUAAACUGCCCGCAGUAGCUGACCAAGUACCACCAAUGUUGUCAUCAGUCUUGAAGGGGAUUCAAAACCCGGUAGGAUCGCACACCGUAUGGCUUGGACAUCGGAAGAAGAUGCAAGAUUGGUAAUGAGAUUACUUGCCUCAGUGCUCAAUUUAUGAUCCUAUUCAUUUGAACUGAUUUACUUGUUUGUCUCAGCUAAUCUAUCCUCAAACGCAGACAACCAUUUGGUCGAAAACCUCAAAUGUUUCCAUCGAGAUAAUAACAAGAAGAACAUCAAGUACUGGGAUGACAUUGUUGUUACAACAAUAGUAAUAGGCCAAGUCACCGGAAGGGAGAUGCUCGUCGUGUAUGAUGGACAUGGUGGCUCGGAGGUGAGGUUAUCUUCUCUUGAAAAUCUUGACCUAGACAAAAGAAAUUAACCUUGAGGCCAUGGGAAGCAGGAAAGCGAAGGUCACGAAUGGCCGCACAAUUUGGUGGUGUUUGUGUGUUGUGCGGUCAAGCCUUUCUACGGGCUCCAUGGUGAUGCAGCAGCAUCACCUUCUUACGGAGAUGAGAUGAUGGGAUGAGGCCGCAUGGUGUUACCUAUUGUUGUUGUGUUAGCUUUGCUGUGUAUGUGUGCGUGUGAGAGAGAUCAGCGGCUGAUUGGGGAUGGUUAUGUUGUUGCUAGAUUAUAAAACAUGUCGUUUAAGUGAAUAUCAACUGUCGGAAAGAAAGCAAUGGUACUGUGAUUCUACUGUUUUAUGCUAGACGUUAAAGAAUACUACUUGCAAGCAGUUAGCGACGAACUGAGGGUUUGCAAGUAGUACUUUUUCCCAGUUGUGCUUCUACUUGCCUGAAUUUAAGUAGGAGAAAUUACCAGUUGUGUUUUUUUGAAAUAAUCUUGAUUUAACUAUGAUUUUCAGAAACUGGUACAGCUUUAACACGGUUCCUUGCUCACUGUGGUACAUUAAAACAAUAAAUUGAGGAGUUUAGAGCCUGCCUAGAGACCUCACAUAGCACCGCCUCAUUUGGCAGCGACAUCAUGAUGAUCUUGUCUGGUCUACUCCAAGUCUCCGCUUGUGGUUUGUGUUGGAAAUAUGAGCAAUUUACCGAAUGAUUUUAUUAACAAAAAUACUAGAUAAAGCAUGACUAAAAUAGGAAAUAUAAAGAAAGUCAUGCAGUCUGACAGAGAGAAGGUAAACAUCGUCUGCAUAAAUGAACUUGAGCUAAACACAUCUAGAACAGACAAUAGAUGAAGUUGCUCAUACGAAACAGAACCUAACAUACGUAGGGCAGAAACUAGAGCCAAGAACUGUAGCAGGACUUCUAACAGAAAGGAGAAGAACACGUACGGCAUAGCAGCAGCAGAAGAGCUGGACUUGGGGUCAGUGUCCUCGCCUGCCAUGUCGUCGAGGAGGUCGUGGACGUCGGGGAAGAAGUCGUCGUCGGGGAAGUAGUCGUCGGCGACCGGAUCGUCUGUGAUGAAGCAGCCAGUAGUCGCGCUGAGCGCUUCCCAAAAACCUUAUCACCCUUCUCCCGUACAUGACUCAAAAGGUGCGGUCUCUGAGGCCUACUGUCCCAACAUGCGGUGCACGCCGCAAGUCGGGAUGAGGAAGACAGCAGCAGCUCAGAGAUGGAACCGAUGGCGAGGGAAGGAGCAGUUCUGGUGCGUAUCUCUGAAAGGAGCGACCUCCCUUUUAUAGGCGCAAGAGAAGGAGGCGAGAGGCUGCGCCGGGAGCUGAAGGGAAUGUGGGAGACGAAACGAACAAGCAGCAGCUGAAGGGGCGCGCCGUUCGGAUUCAGUGUCCAGGCACAGAAAAAAACUGUUUCAGCUUCCGAGUGACCUUUCGUAUACACGUAGUGCGUGGCAAAACUUUAGACAUCGGCUCAUUCCCGCAACCCGCGGCGUGACGAGGCGGGCGGCGGAGGAGGAGCGCGCGUGGAUGUCCCUCUUGUUCUCAUGCUCAUACAAGUGGGGAAGGAGUCUCCCUUAUAAAGAGGUCCAACUCCCUCUAAACUAGCAAGGUGGGACUAAACUUUAGUUCCACCUCUUACCUUGCAUGAAUGGGCUGCGUGGGCCUCUAGGAUUUAUUAGGAAUUUCUGAAACUGCUAUUGGGCUAGGCCCAAAUAGACAAAAAUUCCAGCAGUUUGUGUUCUUUAGGUCUAUGGAAAACACCACGGUGCAUGCCAUUGUCCGUCAUUUCGGGAAAAAUGACCUAGAACAUGCAGAUAACUAAAUUUGGUGAAAGAACUGAAGAAAUCUACUACAUCACAAUAUGAAUUAAAAACAAACAAAAAAUUGGGCAGGACCUCUACAUAAAAAUGGACAGUUAUAGAAAUUUAGCGAAACGGAAAUAAAUCAACGGUUUGCCAAAAAUUUAACGCUUAUAGUAUGAAUCCCAAUAAGGAAAUGAAGACAUCUACUACAUCACAAUAUGAAUAAAACAUAAACAAAGAAAUUUGGCAUGACCUCUGCAUAAAAAUGGACAUAUUAAGUGAUUGAGAUCUGGCGAAACAGAAAUAAAUCAACGUAUCGCCAAAACUUUAGCACUUAUAGUAAGUAUACCUAUAAUGAAUUGAAGACAUCUACUACAACAUAUUAUUUAACUCAGUAUGAACAGAAAUAAUGUACGGAAUAAUACAAUAUAUAUGUGAGACUAUAUAAUUACCUCUAAUAUGAACAAAUUGGUAUUCCUUGUUCAUGGUUACGUAUGUGGCUGCUGCAACUAUAAUUGUUUUGAUGUGUGUGCCUUAAAAACUAUAGAACAAGAAACUACAACUAUAAAUGAACUCUAGUAUGAACAAAUCGAACUCAUUAACGAAUAUGAACACAUUAAUAGCAAUAACCCUAACCCUAGUCGAACGUACGUGUGCGUGUGCGUGGCGGCCGUGGCCGUGGGUGACAAGGAGGAAAGCCGGAGAGGGAGGCGCGGACGACAAUGUAUUACUGGAUGGAGCGGAGGGUGACGGGGCGGAUCGUCGGUGAGGGCGACGGGGCGGCGAAUCGAGGGCGAGGGAGACGCGCGGUGAACGGCUAGGGCGGCGACGAGUAAGCGGUGCUGAUGGCGGCAGCGGACAGGGACGACGACUUGGGUAGCAUGGAUGAGCCAACGGCGUCCGCGACGAGAUGGGGAAGAGUGGGAGUGAGAGAGUAAAUUGGGGUAGGAGGAGAGGGGGCACGUGCGUGUACGUAGGUCGAUUGAGUUUGUCGUAUGCGACCGGUGUGCCAAGCCUCCCAACACGGCUUCUUUGGGGUGGUGGGCGGAAAACCGAUUCGAUUUGGGGCAGAAUAGACAGCUAACUUAGUUGUGGCGGGUAGGGGCCCAUACCCGCCAGAGCUAAUAUCUGUAUAAAAUUUAUUUUUCUGGCGUGCAUUGCUGGCACUAAACUGUGGCCGGCCCAAUCGAGCGUCCGCCACUUUUGCAUUCAAGAACAAUGGCGGCCGAGGCUAACACCCGCCACUGAUCGCAUUCAUCAGGUGGCCAUACUCAGUGGUGCUUACUUGUGGCGGGUGGUGUUCUCCACCCGCCACUGCUACGCAUGUAACUCUGGAGGUCAUGUUGUGGCACCUGCCACUGGUACUUUUGCUAACUAGCAGUGGCAGGUGCUAUGUCCCGCCCGCCAAUCUUUCGAAUUCACCUAUAAGCCCUUUCCCAGUAGAGUAAUAAAGGACUUCUUGACAAGUCCGUGUAGAUUAAAGGUAUGUUAGUAGAUGGUGUAAUAAAUACAUGCUUUAGUGAUCUAAGGAUACAAAUAUGCCACUAUUUAUUUUGUAAAAGGUCGAAAUCAUUCUUAGAAAUCUUAGUAACAACAGUUCUCAUGAACAACUUUGACAAAAUGCAUCAAAUGUUACAAAUAAUACAUACAAACUUAGUUCAAUAAAUUAAUCAAUUGAAGUGAGAACAAACCUAAAUGUACUUAGAGUAAAUCAAUUAAUACGUGUAAAGCCAAUACUAAUCCAAUAUUUAUUAAUAAAUUUGCAUAGAAUUACAACCCUUUGACAUAGAAAGGGAAUAUGAUGAGUCAUGUAUAGAUAACUUGCACAACAUUCCUACCCUUGGCAUAAAAGGAGAAAUUGAUGAGUCAUGUAUUGAUAAUGUGCACAACAUCACUACCCUUGACAUAAAAGGAGAAUUUGAUGAGUCAUGUGUUGAUAACGUGUACAACAUUACUAUCAGUAUGUUCAACUUACCAUCAUAUUAUACAACACUACAAGUUAGUUUUAAAAAGAACAAGAGUCCAGAACGAAGAUCAGAAUACUUGCUUGAUCUAUCUUAACAACAUGCACUAGGACAAAAAUUUAGUCCCACGCAAGCUAUGAAGAUUUGUUUUAUGUAUAACUAUUUGUACAACAUGACAAACUUAGAUCCAAAAGGAAUGCAAUCCAGAUAAUUGUUUGACAUGUAAAGUGAAUAAGAUGAGUCAAUGCCAAUUAUCAAGUUUUCCUCACUCUUAGAUGAUAUGUACAAUAAAAAGACAACUUUGAUGAUCACUCUGAAAUUACGUUUGUAUGUAGUGCCACCAAACACAACAUCCCAAAUAUUAGUUUGAUAAGCAUCAAAUCACUUUUGAAAAAAGAAAGCAAUAAUGAAAAGAAACCUAACCAAGAUAGCUAUAAAAAGGCCUGCAAUAUGUAGACUCCAUACCAUCAUCCAUCCUUCACACACCUAGAGCACAAAUCAGCAAAUCCAAGUACGUAGUAGUUAACGCAAAUCGACCAUGAAGACCUUACUCAUCCUGACGAUCCUUGCGAUGGCAAUAACCAUCAGCACCGCCAAUAUGCAGGUCGACCCUAGUGGCCAAGUACAAUGGCCACAACAACAACUAGUCCCCCAACCCCAACAGCCAUUAUCCCAGCAACCGCAACAAGCAUUUCCCCAACCCCAACAAACAUUUCCCCAUCAACCACAACAACAAGUUCCCCAGCCUCAGCAACCACAACAACCAUUUCUCCAGCCCCAACAAGCAUUCCCCCAACAACCACAACAACCAUUCCCUCAGACUCAACAACCACAACAACCAUUUCCCCAGCAACCACAACAACCAUUUCCCCAGCAAUCACAACAACCAUUCCCCCAGACUCAACAACCACAACAACCAUUUCCCCAGCAACCACAACAACCAUUCCCCCAGACUCAACAACCACAACAACCAUUUCCCCAGUUCCAGCAACCACACCAACCUUUUCCCCAGCCCCAACAACAAUUCCCGCAGCCCCAACAACCGCAACAAUCAUUCCCCCAGCAACAACGACCGUUCAUUCAGCCAUCUCUACAACAACGUUUGAACCCAUGCAAGAAUAUCCUCUUGCAACAAUGCAAACCUGCGUCAUUGGUGUCAUCCCUCUGGUCGAUAAUCUGGCCACAAAGCGAUUGCCAAGUGAUGCAGCAACAAUGCUGCCAAGAACUAGCACAGAUUCCUCAGCAGCUCCAGUGCGCAGCCAUCCAUAGCGUCGUGCAUUCCAUCAUCGUGCAGCAGCAGCAACAACAACAACAACAACAACAACAACAACAAGGCAUGCAUAUCCUGCUGCCACUAUCUCAACAACAACAGUUGGGUCAAGGUACUCUCGUCCAAGGCCAGGGCAUCAUCCAACCUCAGCAACUAGCUCAAUUGGAGGCGAUCAGGUCAUUGGUGUUGCAAACUCUUCCAACCAUGUGCAACGUGUAUGUCCCACCUGAGUGCUCCAUCAUCAGGGCACCAUUUGCCAGCAUCAGGGCAUCAUCAGGGCACCAUUUGCCAGCAUAGUCGCGGGGAUUGGUGGCCAAUGAAAAAAGCAAGAUCUAUACUAAUAGAUAGAUGGAUCAUCGUUACUUAGCAGAUGCACCAAUCGAUGUAACGAUGACAAAUAAAGUGGCGUGCACCAUCAUGUGUGACCCCGACCAGUGCUAGUUCAAGCUUGGGAAUAAAAGACAAACAGAGUUCUUGUUUGCCAGCAUUGCUUGUCAUUGUUCCAUUCACCAUGUAUUUAGAUGUUCAUCCCUAACCGCAGUUCUAGGCUUACACAUCAACAGCUAGUUGCUUGUGCCGGCAGGUUCCUAUGUAAUCUACCGAUUAAUGGUUGACCUAUUAAUCCAGUUUAUAGGCCGAUUGAUCUAUUAAUUGCUGCUCCCAAACUGACCGACCAGCUAUCAGUUACCAUUUUGCUGAACAUUGCACACAGUAAUAACUCAACGUAUUUUAAUGUCUAGAAGUAAAAGGGCCAUUUUAGCAGCAAAACAAGCGCCUGAUUAGGAACCAUCCAUCACUUUAAAUGUUCACCAAGAUAUUUUUGCGUUGGUGCAAUUUUGAGAUUGGUGGCACCGAAACAUUCCUCAAAGCAAUUCUUUAUGGGACUCCAAAGAGGUGAAAAUAAAGUAAAGUUGCCACAUGGUAAAAUAUAAAUCAUGCGGCGAGCAAGAGAAAAUAUUGAGUUACGAUAGCAAGCGCCAAACAUGCCAUUAAACUCUUCAUAUGGUUUCGUGCAGAGAGGGGGGAUUUAGAGAUGACAAACAAAGCUUAAGUAGCAUCGGUUCUGAUUGUAGAAAUUUCUUUUACCUAUAGAAUAACUCGGUUGUUAUUUCUUUAACAAUGUAGUGUGAUAUUAACUUAUCUCAAUCUAGGAACACAAAGCAAAUAUUACAUGUGCUUCUAUGGAUUCCAAGCAGAUGAGAAAUCAUAUUGUGUAGAAGUUCAUUAGAAGGAUAUAAUAGUUUUGACCUAAACAAAUUUACUAUUGUACUCGUGUCUUAGAAAAUUAAAGCUGAAAAUCAACAUAACCAUUGGACACUUCGAAAGACAAGUGUGGGAAAUAAAUAGUAGGAUGUAAAUUUGAGUAGAGUGUUUGAUCAAAUAUUGAACAAAUAACCCACAAACUACUAAAACUCAUCUAUUAAUUCUACCAUAUAUGAACUGUCACAAUGAUAAAGCUAUGAUUUUUUUGACAAAUAUGUAUCCUAGAACUAAUACAAGUUCAAACAAAUCAGCCACAGAUCCCCGAGCCCAUCCAACCAGAUAGCUGAAACUGAAAGAAGCAUUAGCUUGAUUAGAGCACCUACAGCCUAACUUGACAAAUUUGACCCCAGAAACGCUCGCGGACGCGCCCGGUAGUAACCGGUCACGCCUAAAAUAUUUCAUUCUACAACCAGAUACCUCAAAUUAGAAACCUCAAAUCCAUAUUAUUACAUGCAACAUAAAUCGAUCUUUAAGCAGAGCACGUCCGGUGAUCGAAUGCUCUCCGGAGUGUUGGUCCAGUCACCGGCAAGUUAGAGUAGGGCAUGGGAUACGAGGCGGGUCACGGGACUCGAGGCGCCACCGUCCCCCAUUCCCAACUCUUCUCCAUCGGAACCAGGACGGUGCCGGUGGACGUCAGAUCGAUGAUGGAUCCUUCCUGGGAUGAGCCAUCAACAUCGACCACCACGUGGUUGCGGUGCCCGGACUAGUGCACAAUAUGGGGAGCCGAAAAAUACGACUUUGCCUUCGCAACGACCACCACCGCGAGGGCUGUCGCCGCCUCCCGCACCCGCUGCCUUGCAUGGCAGGAGCGCCGAACUAUGUUUUGCGUCGGGCGGUGCCCAUGGUGUGUCCAUGGCCUCAGCACGCCAAUGGAGGGGCUGUGCGUCUGCCACCCAUUUGAACGCUAGAUGGACCGCACCACCUCUGGUGAGGCAGUGAUGGUACACCUAGCGCCGGAUCCAUGCAUCAUUUGGGCGGACGCAUUGGAUUCCCCGCGGAAGGAGUUCGAGCAUUGCCGUUGCCAUCGGGCAGCCUCCUCCUGAGACCGGCGGAGCGCAAGCUCGAUUGCCAUCUCCUCCUAGGAGCCGCGUGGGAUGAGUUCGGGGUCGACGGAUCUGGAGGUAUAACACUGGGAUCCGCCGCCUGCCAUGCCGAAGAAGGCCAUAAGAUCGUCGGACGGGGGCGGCAGGGAGUGAAGUGAAGUGGCUAGGGUUUGGUCCGGCAAGCGGAUGGGGAGGAAUAUAUGUGGGGUCGGGUGGGCCAGCGUGGAUCGGGACCGACAUGGCGGACGCGCGUGGGCGCCCCAUAUUCUUCCCAGAUUUCGGCUGGAUAUGAGGGGUGUUGGUCAGCUUGGGCGUUGAGGCCCGUCUAGGUCAUUUUUCUGUGACCUGGCCGUCCGCCGGGGUGUUUGAAGUGGGUUUGGGACACCCGGGUGUAAAUGCUCUUAGACCAUGUAGUACCUUGAGGAGGAUGGUGUGGGUCCAUGAAAGAACUACAGCCUUUCCAUUAUGUUCGGGCGCAGGGCGAUAACGAAGUUAUCUUUACUCCUACAAGGGGAGUUGUUAGUCUCCGUUCCAUGGGUUUUUUUGUCUCACCUCCCAUCUUCGUUUCAUUUUUUCCGUCUCUCUUUCACACCGUCGGGUGGAGCUUAUGUGUCAUACUCCGUGACCUUUCAUUAGUUUUCUAGAGAGAAUCCUACUCUCAUAGAUUGCGACGUUUAACAAUCAGACUCAUAUAGGUGUGUUCUUCAAAAGAUGUUCUGCAGGACAACAUCUCUCCUUCAAAAAGCCACUUAGAACACAUUAAGAUAUACAUCAACCUACCAUGCAGAUUAGGAGAGUAUUGCAUCUUCAUGGAGUGGUAUUUUAACAAUAAGGAUACACUACUAGGGAAAAGGCUAGCAGCAGCGCGGGUUUUUGGUGUAUCAGUAGCGCGGGGUGGGGCGCUACUAAUAAGGCGCUACAGCUAACAUAUAGCAGUAGCGCGUGGUCACCGGCGCUACUGCUACACAAGUGUAGCAGCAGCGCGGUUACUGGGAGCACGCUACUGCUAGUAGCUCUAGCGCCCUUUGCAGCAACGCGCUACUGCUAUAGAGGCGCUGCUGCUAACUUCUAUACACUCGCUACUGCUAAUUUAACAGGUUUUUUGUUUUUUUGGGCAUAUUUGUUUUGUAUUUGAACAGGCUUUAUAGAAGAAUCUUUAGCACAUAGAAAUGUCAUCAUGAUACACAUACAAAUGCCUGCGAGACCACGAAUAUAAUCAUAGCAUAUACAUACAAAUAGUCUCAUCAUAAUCAUCAUCCAACACAAAGUGGUCUCUCGUCAUCAUCUCGAAAAUAGCGAUACAAGUCCUUGAUUACUUGCAAAUACAUUGUCAUCCAUCUAAACAAUGGUAUACGCGAGAAGAGCUAUCACUUUGAGAACAUGAGUUCGUAUCCCUCUCUCGCAUUAGCGUGAACCUAAACUAACUACUGCCUGUCGCUCGGAAACCGGAAACCGGCAACACCUGGGUCUGACACUCCGGUCACUCAUCGUAUAUAUACUCCUGGCGUAGCACUUCUUCGCCAUCGAUGAUCUAUGCACCUGCAUCAUCACAUGAGUAGAUGAUAUGCAACAUAUAUAGUUGAGCAACAGAAAGAGACAGACUUGACAAAAAUAGAAACAACGUAUCAUAAGCAUAAAUAACAAAGUUCAUCAUAACCAAAAUGCCCUAACUAGAGUGAUCUUCGCUAGUCGAGGAGGAGGACGGUUUAAUUACAUCACAAAUAAAGUUUUACUGCGCAUAACUCAAAGUUUUGUCAUACAGAAAGUAUGGAGUAAACAGACACAUUGUCAUAUAUUGACAAUCACUCCAACAUGCCGUGCCAUCCAUCGAGGUCAGGGAGAUAGUCCCCGAGCUUAGUGAAAGGCUUCAUGUCGAGACGCUGAGAGGCUAUCCAUGUUCGGACGUCUUCCCACAACAUUUUUCCUCCGUAGAACAUCCCUGUUUUUCCGACGACCUCUUUCAUGAUGAUUUGGGCAAGUUCGCGUUGGAUGUUAUAGAACUCAGCUCGAAGUCGAUGAUCCUCGAUAUCUCCUAUGUCCUUUGCCCAUUGCAGAAUAUGGGCAUCGCCAGAUCUAGGUGACAUGUGAAGGUUCUGGUGAUCCCGUUUGUACUCCCGCAUGUGGUGUAGGACAUAGAAUCCACCAUUAAGAGAAUCGUUCGGUUGUUGGAUGCAGCAGAAGUCGGUCUUAUGGCUGAAGGCGGCCCUGCCGCCCCUUCUCUUCUUGUCCCUAACCUCUCCACCCCUUGCUUGGUAGUAAAACAUAGCACUGUCGAGAACAUCUUUGAUGUGGGUGUAAUCCUUUUUGUGAAUGUUAUUCGAUGAGUCCAAGUAAAGAGCAUGGGAGAAUCGGGGGUAGAGGAUGAUGAGGACGGCGCGCCCGCCGCUGCGCAAAAUAAGUACACCUCAAAUUAAUUAGCCUUCACCGUGCAAAUGAAUUAUUGAAAUCGAAGGAAGGAUAGCAGCGCGGAUGACUUACACGGGAUGAUAAGGCACGAGAAUCGCCUCCUUGUCCUUAUUGGCGAGCAUGAAACUAACGAUGUAAUUCCUCGCGUAUUCACGCUGCUCUGCACAGACUCCCAAGAAGCUCUCGUGCAUGUAGUACGGGUCAGUGACACAGAUAUGACGUAUCUGCUCAACCCCAAUGAUGUAGUUCAUGUGCAAGGCAUAAAGGCGGACAAAUGUAAAAUCCAGCUUCUUCACGUGAAACAUGUCGAAUAUGUAAUCGAAUCGGAGGAAGAACUUAUCCGCAGCGAAGCUGUCGACGUAUGACAUUUUCCGCGGAACGUUAUCCACGUAGAGUGGGUAUCCUGGAUCUUUCGAGGCAAUGAGGCAUUUCUCUACCCGUAGCACAUCAUCAUGAAGUCUCCUUAGAUCGCCGAAUCUGGCCCGUAGCGCUGUUGCAGGUAGGAUUGGUUGACCGGGGAUAUGCCAUUUAUCCGCAUCGGGGAUAUCUAGACGGUCCUGAAGCUGAGGCUGCUGAGGCGGCUGGAUCAUAGAAUCAACUUUUUUUCCUUUCCUCGCUCUCUUCCUAGACUUCUUUACUACCGGAAAGUCGUCAAUAACACAUUGAGACGGUAAUUCAGGCACCGACUCAUGAUGCUCAAACCCUGAGGAGGCGCCAGUAUAGACAUACUGUUCAGCGCCAUCGUCAUCCUCAUCCUCAUCCAUGGCGACGUCAUCAGCGACUAAUGGAGCCUCCUCCUUACCCCGUCCGCUAUCACCCAACCCGACACCCAACGCUAAUUGGGUAGGUGGGGUGUUGAUGUUCAUACCUUGCUGAGACUGCGUGCUCGUGGGUGUGCUCCCGGCCGCCUCCAGACGAAGCAGACUCUUUGGCCACAACAGGACCUACCCAUUGCAACAAUCACCAAGCCGCUGCGGUGUCUCCUCGUCAUCCACCAAUAGUGUUGGAGGAGGCAAAUUCUCGUGGCCCGGUUCGACACUGGCCAUGGAAACCUUGAAGACGUUUGGGGGAAUCGGCCGGCUGUGGAACAAUGGUUCCUUCGGCUUCAUUAUCGUCGCCUUCCCCAUGGCCACCUUCUGGUCCCCGAUGGUGUACAAUAUGGUGCGCGGGGUUUCGUCGGCCUGCAAAGAGAAGUCUGCGACGUGAGACAUUCGAAAGGCAACGAAAACGGGAGAUUAUACAUUUAUAUUGAAGGGGGCCGGUGUGACAGAUACCGUGAGGGCGUCGAGCUCAGCCAAAGACAAAGCACCGCCGAGCACGUCCGGUGCGGGAGCCGGUGCGGGAGCAGGUGCUCCCAAGAAGUCAGCAAGGGGAAAGUCCUCUGCAUUUUUUUCUGGAUUUUUCCUUGUCCAAGUGAUAACGCCCGUCACCAAGGAAGUAGACAAAUCUGCAACCGCCUGUUUUGCGGCAGCUACCGCUGUUGCGACUGUCUGAGAUGAUUUCUUCUCAACCGCAAUCUCAACCUUCUUGUCGAUGUUUUUUUCAGUUAACCUCCGUCUUUCCUUUCUCUCCUCUGUGGUCUCCCGGUAGUACUUCUUCCACGUGGCGCCGUCUCCGACACCGUGCACGCGUCCAUACGAUGGUCGAGUAUCCAUCGGUUGUCGUUUCAAUAUGUUCAACGUCCGGUUGAAUGGAGUGUCCCACUUGGGCCUCGCCAAUGCCUCAGACGGCGAGUCGUUUUCGACCGCAAUCCGGUGCUGCUCUCUCUGCAAAAGGCACAAGGAUCGUUUACAAAUAUGACUAACGUGUGCAGUCGAAUUGAUCAGAAACUAAAAUUACCAGCAGUCUCAUGAACUCCGUAAUGACCGGUGUUGUCUCAUAAACCUUCUUCACUGGGUCCCAACGGUGCCGAGCCCUCAGGACGUCACGCUCCUGCGGGACAGUGAAAUCCGCCAAGGGGUCUGGGAUGCCCAGACUCGCGGCUUCCGCGUCCUCCUUGGCCCAUUUGGACCUCUUUCCGCCGUAACCACGCUUCCGAGGUGGUGGCUCCCAAUGUUCCUCUUUUGAAGCCCCUUCAUGUACUUAGACUUUUUUUGGCAGCUUCGGCCUCGCAAGCCUCCUUGAAUAUUUGAAACUGCUCUUCCGUGAUUGUCAGAUUAUCCUUUACAAUCUCGGAGUAGGGUUCCCCGUCGUUGAUCUUUGCUUUCACUCAAUUUUUCCAGGCGGCCAACGCGUCGCUAAACUUGGUCAUGGCGUGUUUGUUUAUCUUCUUCAUUGCGGGGUCCUCGUCUGGAUCUUCAUAAUCCUUCUCAUUCCGGCCCGGGAACAAGAAUAUCUGGUGAAACUUCUUUAGAAGGGAGCUCCUCAUAUUUUCUAUCUUCUAUAGUUUCUCAUCAUUGAUGGUGGCGGUUGUCCGUAUGAUGCAGCCUAUUUGAUUGCCGUAGCACGCGCGCGCUUCCUCGGGCGCCUUUGGCUCAAAAUUGCCGUCGUCCACCUCUGUGACCACCAGUCUAGUAGUCCUGAGUUUGUUAGGAACCCGUUGCUUCUUUGCGUUCGGUUCUACACCAGCUCCGCUCCCCGAGACAGCACCGGUCUCAGCGCCGCUCUCGAUGCCGGUCUGAAUCUCAGCGCCGGUCUCAGUCUCAGCACCGGUCUGCGUGUCGGUCUCAGUCCCCGAUGCCACUGGUGGGCCCAGCAACAACAUCGGUUGAUCGUCGGUAAGGCUAAAAUAUUCAUCUGCCACCAGGUAGACGUCGUCGCAAUCACCAGAACCCUGUCCUUCAUCGUUGCUAGCCAUGUUUCCUAUCAUUAAAUCUAGUCAAUUAAUUCUAGACCUAAUAAAAUGAAUAAUGACAUAAAAAAGGACUAUUGUUUUGCAGGAAUGUUGACUCCUUCCUGGUGCGGAAAAUCCCGGCACUCGAUAUGUCCUAGUUUGUAGCACAAGUCAUGCCGAAAUUCACGGAAAAUUUUGGCAUGGCCUUUGCUAAAAAGUGGACAAAUCGAGAACCUGAAAUUUGUCGGAACAGAAAUGAAUCAACAUUCCGGCAAAACAUAGGCCACUCAGCAUCAUUCCCUGGAAACAACAAAGCCACUUGGGCACAAUCGAACAACUUCAAUGAAAAGAUAUAACAUGAGCAAACACUAUUGAGGAAUUUGCAUAUAACAUGGCCACUUCAAUGAAAAGAUAUAAUCAACAAUAACGGAAUAUGCAAAUGAACAUCAAUGACAUAUAGCUACUGUUCUGUUUGACCAAGUUUUUGAAAAGAAAAACAAUUCUGUUUUUUGUUUAUAGCUAAAUGCCAUAGCUACUAUUUUUUAUUUAUAGCUAAAUACUUUUGUUUUUUGUCUAAAGCUAAAAGUCUAGGAACUACAUUUUCUCUAACCCUUUUGACCUCACCAGAAUUUUCACAGCAAGACCUUAGUACCUACACCCAAUUUCUUCAAAAAUAUUCAGGUCCAUAGUCCAAAUAAUUCAAAUUUCAUUUGAAUGAAAUUUGGAACAAAUUCAGGUCCGUAGUCAAAAUAUUUUUUUAUAGCUAAGUGUUUUUUGUUUAUACCCUCUGUUAAUUUAAAUCUAAAUGCUACUAUUAUUUAUAUACCCUCUAUUAGUUUAAAGCUAAAUGGAAUUACUGUUUAGGAAUUUUCAUAAAAAUUGCCCUAGCUAAUUUCCUAAAAAAAUUGCAAAUCAUUUUUCCUAAAUGCUAUAAAAUGCCUACUGCCCUAAAAAAAUCUAGGGUUCAUAUGAACACCUAGGGUUCAUAUGAACAUCAACACAGUAUCAACAUAUAUAUAUAUAAUUGCCCUAGCAGAGAGAAAUAGGAGGGUAGGGACAGGAGAGGCAUAGCCUUACGGUCGGCGUUGAGGGCAGGCUCUGGCUCGGGCAGCGGCGGUGAGGUCAAGGGCGGCGGCGGCGAGCUCGAGGGAGGCGACAGUGAGGUCGACGGUGACAGCCUCGGGUGGCGGCUGUGAGGUCGAGGGGGCGGCCUCGGGCGGCGGCCUCGGGCGGCGGCAGUGUGGUCAAAGGCGGCGGGCGGCGGCGGUGUGGUCGAAGGCGGCCUCCGGCGGUGGCGGUGUGGUCGAAGGCGCGCGGCAGGGCAACGGCGGCGAUGAAGCAGUUGGGGGACAGGGGGGAGUAGAGAGGGGGGAAAGGACUUAGCAAAAUUUUGAGCCAGGGCCGCCGGGAUUUGAGUCAAACUAGCAGCAGCGCGUUUUGACGAAACGCGCUAUAGCUAAGAUAGCUAUAGCGUGUUCCAGAGAAAUGCGCUACAGCUAACCCUUUCUGUUUUCUUUCUCUUUUUAUUUUGUUUUCUUUACAUUUUCUUUUUUUCAUUUCUCCUUUUUCUAUUUCUUUCAUUUUCAUUUACUUUUCUACUUAAUUUUCUAUUUAUUUUCCUUUACAUAGCAGUAGCGCUGUAAAGAAGAAACGCGCUGCUACAAUGUUUUUAACAGUAGCGUGCUUCUGGGAGAAGCGCUGCUACUAUUCCUAGCCUACCGGCACCAGUGAGAGAAUUUUAGUAGUAGCGCUUUUUUGUGGAGAAGCGCUACUACUAAAAUAAUGAUUGUAGCGUGGUUUUGCAACAAGCGCUACUACUAAGUAGCGCUAGCGCCGAGUUUUGACCAACGCUACUGCUAUACCUCUGUGUAUAGCAUUUUCCCUAGUAGUGAUACUCUCCUCUCAGUUGACCAACAGCUUGUCUUCCACAUCUAAUUCACGGGAUCUCCGAUCACAAAGAAUGGGUUACCACUGUGGACACCUCAUAUUGUGGGUCUCAUUCCCAUCUCCAUCGAUGCAUUAUCUAUCACAUUACGUGAUAGACCCUUAGUAAAAGGAUCUGCCAGAUUUUUAGACGUUUGGAUAUAAUCCAAUGCAAUAACUCUCGAGUUUUUCAUUUUUCUGACAGACUUUAACCUUCUCUGAACGUGUCUUGAUGACUUCAUGUUAUCCUUUGAGCUGCUCACUUUAGUGAUCACAGUUUGAUUGUCACAGUUCAUCCGGAUACCCGGUACAGGUUUCUCAACUACCGGUAAGUCAUUCAAGAGCCGACGAAGCCAAUCUGCUUCGACCGUAGUUGUAUCUAGUGCUGUGAGUUCUGCUUCCAUUGUUGACCUCGUUAAAAUGGUCUGCUUGCAAGACUUCCAAGAAACAGCGCCACCUCCAUGAGUGAAUACAUAACCGCUCGUGGCCUUUAUCUCAUCAACAUCUGAGAUCCAGUCUGAGUCAAUAUACCCUUCAAGCACCUUUGGAUGCCUAGUGUAGUGAAUUCCAUAAUUUGCAGUGCUUUCAAAUAACGCAAAACUCUCUCUAGAGCUUUCCAAUGCACAUCUCCUGGUUUUGAGACAAACCGGCUCAGUUAGCUAACAGCAAAAGAGAUGUCAGGUCUCGUAGCACUGGCUAAGUACAUAAGCGAGCCAAUAAUGUGUGAAUAUUCCAAUUGGUCUCUAGCAAUUCUUCGAUUCUUUCGAAGCAACACACUAGCAUCAUAUGGUCUUGGAGAGGGCUUGCAGUCACUGUAGCCAAAGCGACUCAAGAUCUUUUCCCCAUAGUGAGACGGAAGCAAUGUAAUCCCACCAUCAUCAUCUCUCAACAACUUGAUGUUCAGAAUGACGUCAGCCACUCCUAAAUCCUUCUUCUCAAAACAGCGAGAUAGGAAAUCCUUGACCUCCUUAAGAACAUUUAGAUUUGUUCCGAAAAUCAGUAUGUCAUCAACAUACAAGCAAAGCAUAACUCCCUCGCCCCCACCAUGGCGAUAGUACACACAUUUGUUAGCUUCGUUCACAACAAAGCCUGCAGCUGUUAAAGUUCUUUCGAACUUCUCAUGCCACUGUUUGGGUGCUUGCUUGAGUCCAUACAAAGACUUCAGCAACUUGCACACUUUCCCUUCCUAACCAUCUAUUACAAACCCAUCUGGUUGUUCCAUAUAAAUUUCCUCAUCCAACUCUCCAUUUAGGAAAGCAGUCUUAACAUCCAUUUGAUGAACGAGAAGACCAUGUGAGGCAGCUAGUGAAAGUUUAACUCGAAUAGUGGUCAGUCGAGCCACAGGUGAGUAAGUAUCAAAGAAGUCUUCACCUUCCUUUUAGGUAUAACCCUUUGCCACGAGCUGAGCCUUGUACUUUUCAAUAGUACCAUCAGGCCUAAGUUUCUUCUUGAAUACCCAUUUGCAUCCUAUAGGUUUGCACCAUAAGGACGAUCAGUUAUCUCCCAAGUUUCAUCCGCCAAGAUGGAAUCCAUCUCGCUACGAACCGCUUCCUUCCAGUAGUCAGCAUCUUCCGAUGCAUAGGCCUCCAAAAUAGAACUGGGAGUGUCAUCUAUGAGAUACACAAGAAAAUCAUCACCCAAGGACUUUGCUGUCCUCUGUCUCUUACUCCUAGUAGGAACUUCAUUGUUCUCCUCCACAGGCCUUUCAAAGUGUUCCAUCGAAAUGGCAGGUUCAGUAAUUGUAACUGGUUCCUGAUUCGAUGAACUAGGCAUCUCCUGAUUAGAUGAGGUAGCCAUAUCCUUCAUGGGAAAGAUAUCUUCAAAGAAAGUCGCAUCAUUCGACUCCAUGAUCGUACUGACAUGCAUGUCAGAUACCUCAGAUUUUACAACCAAGAAUAUAUAGCCAAUGCUAUGAAAAGCAUAUCCCAGGAAAACACAAUCCACAGUCUUUGGUCCAAGCUUCCGCUUCUUUGGAAUUGGAACAUUGACUUUCGCCAAGCAACCCCAUGUUCGCAGAUAAGAGAGUCUUAACCUUUUCUUCUCCCAUUCCUCGAAUGGAGUUAUCUCUUUGUUCUUUGUGGGAACUCGAUUUAGGACAUGACAUGCUGUCAAUAUCGUCUCCCCCCACCAUGCCUUGGAGAGACCCGAUGUGCAUAACAUGGCGUUAACGAAAUCAGUUAGAGUACGGUUCUUUCUUUCGGCCACCCCAUUUGACUGAGGUGAGUAGGGAGGCGUCCUCUCAUGGAUUAUACCAUGUUCCGCACAAAAAGCAUCAAAUUCAUUGGAAAAAUACUCUCCACCACGGUCAGACCUAAGCCUCUUGAUUUUUCGAUCAAGUUGGUUUUCCACUUCAGCUUUAUAGAUCUUGAAAAAGUUCAAAGCCUCAUCCUUAGAUUUCAGAAGAUACACAUGGCAGUAUCUAGUGGAGUCGUCAAUUAACGUCAUGAAAUAUUUCUUUCCACCUUUUGUCAAAACACCAUUCAUUUCACAUAGAUCUGAAUGUAUAAGUUCUAGUGGUGCAAGAUUUCUCGUCUCCGCAGUCACGUGAGACUUACGAGGUUGCUUAGCUUGCACACACACUUGACACUUAGAUCCUUGACAGUGGUGAAACUAGGGAUUAAGUUCAACUUCGCUAGUCGCGACAUGCAACCAAAGUUAACAUGACAAAGACGUGAAUGCCACACAUUUGAUUCACUAUUGUUGCAAAUAUGAUUAACAACUUUAUUGCAAAUGUCUGAUAAGGAUAAACGAAACAGGCCUCCUGACUCAUAGCCUUUACCAACAAAGGUCCCAUACUUGGAUAUUACAAAUUUAUUCGACUCAAAGACAAGCUUAUAGCCAUCUCUACACAGAAGAGAUCCGCUAACAAGAUUUUUAUUGACGGAGGGGACAUAAUGCACGUUCUUCAGCCGCACGAUCUUCCCUGAAGUAAACUUCAGAUCAACCAUGCCAACACCACGAACAGAAGCACUUGAACUGUUGCCCAUCAGCACGGUUGAAGUCCCUGCGGUCUGAUAAGAUGAAAACAUGGAAAUAUCACCGUAUACAUGCACAUUAGCACCCAUGUCAAUCAACCAACCAGGAGAAUGACAUACUGAAAGAAUAGUGGGAAAUAUACCAUACCCAACAUCUUUCAUGUCAAUGUCUCCGAUGACAACAUUAGCGGUCUUGCCGCCUUUCCCAGGAUGACGCUUGUCAUAGCGAUUAGGACAACUAGGAGCCCAAUGAUCAGGAUCUCCAAACACAUGACAAGCACCUUUCUUAUUGUCAUUCUUCUUCUUGAAGUUCAUGUGCUGCACAGCCUUGUUCUUCCCAUCGAACUUUGCUUUACCAUCAAACUUGCCCUUGUUCUUGAACUUGUGGGACUGGAAGUUCUUCUUCUGUACCAGAUUGGCACUAGAUCCUCCCUCAAUACCUCGAGCACAUGUGUCCUUUGCUCUCGCCUUUUCUUCCACAUAAGAGUACCAAUGAGAUCCGGGAUGGAAAACUCCUGUCUCUUAUGCUUCAGUGAGGUAGCAAAGUUCCUCCAUGAAGGAGGAAGCUUAGUGAUGAUACCCCCGGCAACAAACUUGUCCGGUAAGAUACAAUUGAAGUGCUCAAGUUCUCUAGCAAAAGACUGUAUCUCAUGAGCCUGCUCAACCACGGAGCGCUCUUCAGUCAUCCUGUAAUCAUAGAAUUAUUCCAUGAUGUACAGCUCAGUGCCGGCAUCCGAGACCCCAAACUUGGCCUCGAGUGUGUCCCACAUAUCUUUUCAUUGUCAAUUGACGCAUAAGCAUCAACUAUGUUCUCACCAAGAACACUCAAAAGAGCAGCCUUAAACAAGGUAUCCAUUUUCUGGAAAGCUUGUGCCUGUUGGGCAUCUUGCUCUCCUUCGGGUUUGCCAAGAGUGGCAUCAUAGAAACUCAUGGUUUGAAACCAUAAGACUGCUCUCACACGCCACUUCUUAUAGUGGAUACCCUCAAACAUAGGAGGUCUCAUGGAAGCAGCAAAAUCACUCGGGGUAAAUUGCCUAUAAUAAGGUUUUUGGAUUGUUGGAAAUAUGAGCAAUUUACCGAAUGAUUUUAUUAACAAAAAUACUAGAUAAAGCAUGACUAAAAUAGCAAAUAUAAAGCAAGUCAUGCAGUCUGACAGAGAGAAGGUAAACAUCGUCUGCAUAUAUGAACUUGAGCUAAACACAGCUAGAACAGACACUAGAUGAAGUUGCUUAUACGAAACAGAACCUAACAUACGUAGGGCAGAAACUAGAGCCAAGAACUAUAGCAGGACUUCUAACAGAAAGGAGAAGAACACGUACGGCACAGCAGCAGCAGAAGCGCUGGACUUGGGGUUGGUGUCCUUGCCUGCCAUGUCAUCGAGGAGGUCAUGGACGUCAGGGAAGAAGUCGUCGUCGGGGAAGUAGUCGUUGGCGACCGGAUCGUCUGUGAUGAAGCAGCCAGUAGUCGCACUAAGUGCUCCCCAAAAACCUUAUCACCCUUCUCCCGUACAGGACUCAAAAGGUGCGGUCGCGAAAGCCUACUGUCCCGACGUGCGGUGCACGCCACAAGUCGGGAUGAGGAAGACAGCAGCAGCUCAGAGAUGGAACCGAUGGCGAGGGAAGGAGCAGUUCUGGUGCGUCUCUCUGAGAGGAGCGACCUCCCUUUUAUAGGCGCAAGAGAAGGAGGCGAGAGGCUGCGCCGGGAGCUGAAGGGAAUGCGGGAGACGAAACAAACAGGCAGCAGCCGAAGGGGCGCGCCGUUCGGAUUCAGUGUCCAGGCACAGAAAAAAAAUGUUUCAGCUUCCGAGUGACCUUUCGUAUACCCGUAGUGCGUGGCAAAAAUUUAGACAUCGGCUCGGCUCAUUCCCGCAACCCGCGGCGCGGCGCAUCGUGAUGAGGCGUGGUGAGGCGGGCGGCGGAGGAGGAGCACGCGUGGAUGUCCCUCUUGUUCUCAUGCUCAUACAAGUGGGGAAGGAGCCUCCCUUAUAAAGAGGUCCAACUCCCUCUAAACUAGCAAGGUGGGACUAAACUUUAGUUCCACCUCUUGCCUUGCACGAAUGGGCUGCGUGGGCCUCUAGGAUUUAUUAGGAAUUUCUAAAAUUGCUAUUGGGCUAGGCCCAAAUAGACAAAAAUUCCAGCAAUCCCCCACCAGAUCCCAGAGGCACACAAAAUUUGCCUUUGGUUCCAAAACACUGUUUUAUAUACUGGUACAGCAGUGGAGACUGUUAAGUUGAACUUCCACCUAGAACCCUAUGCUACACUAGUAAGCAACUUGAACAGUGGACUGGGCCUUGAACUGCAAGUUUUCUGCAAAUCUAGCUUCACAUAAGGCCUUGACCGAUACGUGGCUACCGUGGGUCUUCCCCGUGGGUGGAGCUUAUGCGUCAUACUCCGUGACCUUUCAUUAGUUUACUAGAGAGAACCCUACUCUCAUAGAUUGCGACGUUUAACAAUCAGACUCAUAUAGGUGCGUUCUUCAAAAGAUGUUCUGCAGGACAACAUCUCUGCUUCAAAAAGCCACUUAGAACACAUUAAGAUAUAAAUCAACCUGCCAUGCAGAUUAGGAGAGUAUUGCAUCUUCAUGGAGUGGUAUUUUAACAGUAUGGAUACUCUCCUCUCAGUUGACCAACAACUUGUCUUCCACAUCUAAUUCACGGGAUCUCCGAUCAUAAAGAAUAGGUUACCACUAUGAACAACUCAUAUUGUGGGUCUCAUUCCCAUCUCCCUCGAUGCAUUAUCUAUCACAUUACGUGAUAGACCGUUAGUAAAAGGAUCUGCCAGAUUUUUAGACGUUUGGAUAGAAUCCAAUGCAAUAACUCUGGAGUUUUUCAUUUUUCUGACAGACUUUAACCUUCUCUGAACGUGUCUUGAUGACUUCAUGUUAUCCUUUGAGUUGCUCACUUUAGUGAUCACAGUUUGAUUGUCACAGUUCAUCCGGAUACCCGGUAUAGGUUUCUCAACUACCGGUAAGUCAUUCAAGAGCCGACGAAGCCAAUCUGCUUCGACCGUACCUGUAUCUAGUGUUGUGAGUUCUGCUUCCAUUGUUGACCUCGUUAAGAUGGUCUGCUUGCAAGACUUCCAAGAAACAGCGCCACCUCCAUGAGUGAAUACAUAACCGCUCGUGGCCUUUAUCUCAUCAGCAUCUGAGAUCCAGUUUGAGUCACUAUACCCUUCAAGCACCUUUGGAUGCCAAGUGUAGUGAAUUCCAUAAUUUGCAGUGCCUUUUAAAUAACGCAAAACUCUCUCUAGAGCUUUCCAAUGCACAUCUCCUGGUUUUGAGACAAACCGGCUUAGUUAGCUAACAGCAAAAGAGAUGUCAGGUCUCGUAGCACUGGCUAAGUACAUAAGCGAGCCAAUAAUCUGUGAAUAUUUCAAUUGGUCUCUAGUGAUUCUUCGAUUCUUUCGAAGCAACACACUAGCAUCAUAUGGUGUUGGAGAGGGCUUGCAGUCACUGUAGCCAAAGCGGCUCAAGAUCUUUUCCACAUAGUGAGAUUGAAGCAAUGUAAUCCCACAAUCAUCAUCUCUCAAAAACUUGAUGUUCAGAAUGACAUCAGCCACUCCUAAAUCCUUCAUCUCAAAACAGCAAGAUAGGAAAUCCUUGACCUCCUUAAGAACAUUCAGAUCUGUUCCGAAAAUCAGUAUGUCAUCAACAUACAAGCAAAGCAUAACUCCCUUGCCCCCACCAUGGCGAUAGUACACACAUUUGUCAGCUUCGUUCACAACAAAGCCUGCAGCUAUUAAAGUUCUUUCGAACUUCUCAUGCCACUGUUUGGGUGCUUGCUUGAGUCCAUACAAAGACUUCAGCAACUUGCACACUUUCCCUUCCUGGCCAUCUAUUACAAACCCCUCUGGUUGUUCCAUAUAAAUUUCCUCAUCCAAAUCUCCAUUUAGGAAAGCAGUCUUAACAUCCAUUUGAUGAACGAGAAGACCAUGUGAGGCAGCUAGUGAAAGUAGACCUCGAAUAGUGGUCAGUCGAGCCACAGGUGAGUAAGUAUCAAAGAAGUCUUCACCUUCCUUUUGGUUAUAACCCUUUGCCACGAGCCGAGCCUUGUACUUUUCAUUAGUACCAUCAGGCCUAAGUUUCUUCUUGAAUACCCAUUUGCAUCCUAUAGGUUUGCACCCAUAAGGACGAUCAGUUAUCUCCCAAGUUUCAUUCGCCAAGAUGGAAUCCAUCUCGCUACGAAUCGCUUCCUUCCAGUAGUCAGCAUCUUCCGAUGCAUAGGCAUCCGAAAUAGAACUGGGAGUGUCAUCUAUGAGAUACACAAGAAAAUCAUCACCAAAGGACUUUGCUGUCCUCUGUCUCUUGCUCCUAGUAGGAACUUCAUUGUUCUCCUCCGCAGGACUUUCAAAGUGUUCCAUCGAAAUGGCAGGUUCAGUAAUUGUAACUGGUUCCUGAUUCGAUGAACUAGGCAUCUCCUAAUUAGAUGAGGUAGCCAUAUCCUUCAUGGGAAUGAUAUCUUCAAAGAAAGUCGCAUCAUUCGACUCCAUGAUCGUACCGACAUGCAUGUCAGAUACCUCAGAUUUUACAACCAAGAAUCUAUAGCCAAUGCUGUGAAAAGCAUAUCCCAGGAAAACACAAUCCACAGUCUUUGGUCCAAGCUUCCGCUUCUUUGGAAUUGGAACAUUGACUUUCGCCAAGCAACCGCAUGUUCGCAGAUAAGAGAGUUUUAACCUUUUCUUCUCCCAUUCCUCGAAUGGAGUUAUCUCUUUGUUCUUUGUGGGGACUCGAUUUAGGACAUGACAUGCUGUCAAUAUCGCCUCCCCCCACCAUGCCUUGGAGAGACCCGAUGUGGCGUUAACCAAAUCAGUUAGAGUACGGUUCUUUCUUUCGGCCACCCCAUUUGACUGAGGUGAGUAGGGAGGCGUCCCCUCAUGGAUUAUACCAUGUUCUGCACAAAAAGCAUCAAAUUCAUUGGAAAAAUACUCUCCACCACGGUCAGACCUAAGCCUCUUGAUUUUUCGAUCAAGUUGGUUUUCCACUUCAGCUUUAUAGAUCUUGAAAAAGUUCAAAGCCUCAUCCUUACAUUUCAGAAGAUACACAUGGCAGUAUCUAGUGGAGUCAUUAAUUAACGUCAUGCAAUAUUUCUUUCCACCUUUUGUCAAAACACCAUUCAUUUCACAUAGAUCUGAAUGUAUAAGUUCUAGUGGUGCAAGAUUUCUCGUCUCCGUAGUCACGUGAGACUUACGAGGUUGCUUAGCUUGCACACACACUUGACACUUAGAUCCUUGACAGUGGUGAAACUAGGGAUUAAGUUCAACUUCGCUAGUCGCGACAUGCAACCAAAGUUAACAUGACAAAGACGUGAAUGCCACACAUUUGAUUCACUAUUGUUGCAAAUAUGAUUAACAACUUUAUUGCAAACGUCUGAUAAGGAUAAACGAAACAGGCCUCCUGACUCAUAGCCUUUACCAACAAAGGUCCCAUACUUGGAUAUUACAAAUUUAUUCGACUCAAAGACAAGCUUAUAGCCAUCUCUACACAGAAGAGAUCCGCUAACAAGAUUUUUAUUGACGGAGGGGACAUAAUGCACGUUCUUCAGCCGCACGAUCUUCCCUGAAGUAAACUUCAGAUCAACCAUGCCAACACCACGAACAGAAGCACUUGAACUGUUGCCCAUCAGCACGGUUGAAGUCCCUGCGGUCUGAUAAGAUGAAAACAUGGAAAUAUCACCGCAUACAUGCACAUUAGCACCCAUGUCAAUCAACCAACCAGGAGAAUGACAUACUGAAAGAAUAGUGGGAAAUAUACCAUACCCAGCAUCUUUCAUGUCAAUGUCUCCGAUGACAACAUUAGCGGUCUUGCCGCCUUUCCCAGGAUGACGCUUGUCAUAGCGAUUAGGACAACUAGGAGCCCAAUGAUCAGGAUCUCCAAACACAUGACAAGCACCUUUCUUAUUGUCAUUCUUCUUCUUGAAGUUCAUGUGCUGCACAGCCUUGUUCUUCCCAUCGAACUUUGCUUUACCAUCAAACUUGCCCUUGUUCUUGAACUUGUGGGACUGGAAGUUCUUCUUCUGUACCAGAUUGGCACUAGAUCCUCCCUCAAUACCUCGAGCACGUGUGUCCUUUGCUCUCGCCUUUUCUUCCACAUAAGAGUACCAAUGAGAUCCGGGAUGGAAAACUCCUGUCUCUUAUGCUUCAGUAAGGUAGCAAAGUUCCUCCAUGAAGGAGGAAGCUUAGUGAUGAUACCCCCGGCAACAAACUUGUCCGGUAAGAUACAAUUGAAGUGCUCAAGUUCUCUAGCAAAAGACUGUAUCUCAUGAGCCUGCUCAACCACGGAGCGCUCUUCAGUCAUCCUGUAAUCAUAGAAUUAUUCCAUGAUGUACAGCUCAGUGCCGGCAUCCGAGACCCCAAACUUGGCCUCGAGUGUGUCCCACAUAUCUUUUCAUUGUCAAUUGAAGCAUAAGCAUCAACUAUGUUCUCACCAAGAACACUCAAAAGAGCAGCCUUAAACAAGGUAUCCAUUUUCUGGAAAGCUUGUGCCUGUUGGGCAUCUUGCUCUCCUUCAGGUUUGCCAAGAGUGGCAUCAUAGAAACUCAUGGUUUGAAACCAUAAGACUGCUCUCACACGCCACUUCUUAUAGUGGAUACCCUCAAACAUAGGAGGUCUCAUGGAAGCAGCAAAAUCACUCGGGGUAAAUUGCCUAUAAUAAGGUUUUUGGAUUGUUGGAAAUAUGAGCAAUUUACCGAAUGAUUUUAUUAACAAAAAUACUAGAUAAAGCAUGACUAAAAUAGCAAAUAUAAAGCAAGUCAUGUAGUCUGACAGAGAGAAGGUAAACAUCGUCUGCAUAUAUGAACUUGAGCUAAACACAGCUAGAACAGACACUAGAUGAAGUUGCUUAUACGAAACAGAACCUAACAUACGUAGGGCAGAAACUAGAGCCAAGAACUAUAGCAGGACUUCUAACAGAAAGGAGAAGAACACGUACGGCACAGCAGCAGCAGAAGCGCUGGACUUGGGGUUGGUGUCCUCGCCUGCCAUGUCAUCGAGGAGGUCAUGGACGUCAGGGAAGAAGUCGUCGUCGGGGAAGUAGUCGUCGGCGACCGGAUCGUCUGUGAUGAAGCAGCCAGUAGUCGCACUAAGCGCUCCCCAAAAACCUUAUCACCCUUCUCCCGUACAGGACUCAAAAGGGGCGGUCGCGAAAGCCUACUGUCCCGACGUGCGGUGCACGCCACAAGUCGGGAUGAGGAAGACAGCAGCAGCUCAGAGAUGGAACCGAUGGCGAGGGAAGGAGCAGUUCUGGUGCGUCUCUCUGAGAGGAGCGACCUCCCUUUUAUAGGCGCAAGAGAAGGAGGCGAGAGGCUGCGCCGGGAGCUGAAGGGAAUGCGGGAGACGAAACGAACAGGCAGCAGCCGAAGGGGCGCGCCGUUCGGAUUCAGUGUCCAGGCACAGAAAAAAAAUGUUUCAGCUUCCGAGUGACCUUUCGUAUACCCGUAGUGCGUGGCAAAAAUUUAGACAUCGGCUCGGCUCAUUCCCGCAACCCGCGGCGCGGCGCAUCGUGAUGAGGCGUGGUGAGGCGGGCGGCGGAGGAGGAGCACGCGUGGAUGUCCCUCUUGUUCUCAUGCUCAUACAAGUGGGGAAGGAGCCUCCCUUAUAAAGAGGUCCAACUCCCUCUAAACUAGCAAGGUGGGACUAAACUUUAGUUCCACCUCUUGCCUUGCACGAAUGGGCUGCGUGGGCCUCUAGGAUUUAUUAGGAAUUUCUAAAAUUGCUAUUGGGCUAGGCCCAAAUAGACAAAAAUUCCAGCAAUCCCCCACCAGAUCCCAGAGGCACACAAAAUUUGCCUUUGGUUCCAAAACACUGUUUUAUAUACUGGUACAGCAGUGGAGACUGUUAAGUUGAACUUCCACCUAGAACCCUAUGCUACACUAGUAAGCAACUUGAACAGUGGACUGGGCCUUGAACUGCAAGUUUUCUGCAAAUCUAGCUUCACAUAAGGCCUUGACCGAUACGUGGCUACCGUGGGUCUUCCCCGUGGGUGGAGCUUAUGCGUCAUACUCCGUGACCUUUCAUUAGUUUACUAGAGAGAACCCUACUCUCAUAGAUUGCGACGUUUAACAAUCAGACUCAUAUAGGUGCGUUCUUCAAAAGAUGUUCUGCAGGACAACAUCUCUGCUUCAAAAAGCCACUUAGAACACAUUAAGAUAUAAAUCAACCUGCCAUGCAGAUUAGGAGAGUAUUGCAUCUUCAUGGAGUGGUAUUUUAACAGUAUGGAUACUCUCCUCUCAGUUGACCAACAACUUGUCUUCCACAUCUAAUUCACGGGAUCUCCGAUCAUAAAGAAUAGGUUACCACUAUGAACAACUCAUAUUGUGGGUCUCAUUCCCAUCUCCCUCGAUGCAUUAUCUAUCACAUUACGUGAUAGACCCUUAGUAAAAGGAUCUGCCAGAUUUUUAGACGUUUGGAUAUAAUCCAAUGCAAUAACUCUGGAGUUUUUCAUUUUUCUGACAGACUUUAACCUUCUCUGAACGUGUCUUGAUGACUUCAUGUUAUCCUUUGAGUUGCUCACUUUAGUGAUCACAGUUUGAUUGUCACAGUUCAUCCGGAUACCCGGUACAGGUUUCUCAACUACCGGUAAGUCAUUCAAGAGCCGACGAAGCCAAUCUGCUUCGACCGUACCUGUAUCUAGUGUUGUGAGUUCUGCUUCCAUUGUUGACCUCAUUAAGAUGGUCUGCUUGCAAGACUUCCAAGAAACAGCGCCACCUCCAUGAGUGAAUACAUAACCGCUCGUGGCCUUUAUCUCAUCAGCAUCUGAGAUCCAGUUUGAGUCACUAUACCCUUCAAGCACCUUUGGAUGCCAAGUGUAGUGAAUUCCAUAAUUUGCAGUGCCUUUUAAAUAACGCAAAACUCUCUCUAGAGCUUUCCAAUGCACAUCUCCUGGUUUUGAGACAAACCGGCUUAGUUAGCUAAUAGCAAAAGAGAUGUCAGGUCUCGUAGCACUGGCUAAGUACAUAAGCGAGCCAAUAAUCUGUGAAUAUUUCAAUUGGUCUCUAGUGAUUCUUCGAUUCUUUCGAAGCAACACACUAGCAUCAUAUGGUCUUGGAGAGGGCUUGCAGUCACUGUAGCCAAAGCGGCUCAAGAUCUUUUCCACAUAGUGAGAUUGAAGCAAUGUAAUCCCACCAUCAUCAUCUCUCAACAACUUGAUGUUCAGAAUGACAUCAGCCACUCCUAAAUCCUUCAUCUCAAAACAGCAAGAUAGGAAAUCCUUGACCUCCUUAAGAACAUUCAGAUUUGUUCCGAAAAUCAGUAUGUCAUCAACAUACAAGCAAAGCAUAACUCCCUUGCCCCCACCAUGGCGAUAGUACACACAUUUGUCAGCUUCGUUCACAACAAAGCCUGCAGCUAUUAAAGUUCUUUCGAACUUCUCAUGCCACUGUUUGGGUGCUUGCUUGAGUCCAUACAAAGACUUCAGCAACUUGCACACUUUCCCUUCCUGGCCAUCUAUUACAAACCCCUCUGGUUGUUCCAUAUAAAUUUCCUCAUCCAAAUCUCCAUUUAGGAAAGCAGUCUUAACAUCCAUUUGAUGAACGAGAAGACCAUGUGAGGCAGCUAGUGAAAGUAGACCUCGAAUAGUGGUCAGUCGAGCCACAGGUGAGUAAGUAUCAAAGAAAUCUUCACCUUCCUUUUGGUUAUAACCCUUUGCCACGAGCCGAGCCUUGUACUUUUCAUUAGUACCAUCAGGCCUAAGUUUCUUCUUGAAUACCCAUUUGCAUCCUAUAGGUUUGCACCCAUAAGGACGAUCAGUUAUCUCCCAAGUUUCAUUCGCCAAGAUGGAAUCCAUCUCGCUACGAAUCGCUUCCUUCCAGUAGUCAGCAUCUUCCGAUGCAUAGGCAUCCGAAAUAGAACUGGGAGUGUCAUCUAUGAGAUACACAAGAAAAUCAUCACCAAAGGACUUUGCUGUCCUCUGUCUCUUGCUCCUAGUAGGAACUUCAUUGUUCUCCUCCGCAGGACUUUCAAAGUGUUCCAUCGAAAUGGCAGGUUCAGUAAUUGUAACUGGUUCCUGAUUCGAUGAACUAGGCAUCUCCUAAUUAGAUGAGGUAGCCAUAUCCUUCAUGGGAAUGAUAUCUUCAAAGAAAGUCGCAUCAUUCGACUCCAUGAUCGUACCGACAUGCAUGUCAGAUACCUCAGAUUUUACAACCAAGAAUCUAUAGCCAAUGCUGUGAAAAGCAUAUCCCAGGAAAACACAAUCCACAGUCUUUGGUCCAAGCUUCCGCUUCUUUGGAAUUGGAACAUUGACUUUCGCCAAGCAACCCCAUGUUCGCAGAUAAGAGAGUUUUAACCUUUUCUUCUCCCAUUCCUCGAAUGGAGUUAUCUCUUUGUUCUUUGUGGGGACUCGAUUUAGGACAUGACAUGCUGUCAAUAUCGCCUCCCCCCACCAUGCCUUGGAGAGACCCGAUGUGGCGUUAACCAAAUCAGUUAGAGUACGGUUCUUUCUUUCGGCCACCCCAUUUGACUGAGGUGAGUAGGGAGGCGUCCUCUCAUGGAUUAUACCAUGUUCUGCACAAAAAGCAUCAAAUUCAUUGGAAAAAUACUCUCCACCACAGUCAGACCUAAGCCUCUUGAUUUUUCGAUCAAGUUGGUUUUCCACUUCAGCUUUAUAGAUCUUGAAAAAGUUCAAAGCCUCAUCCUUACAUUUCAGAAGAUACACAUGGCAGUAUCUAGUGGAGUCAUUAAUUAACGUCAUGCAAUAUUUCUUUCCACCUUUUGUCAAAACACCAUUCAUUUCACAUAGAUCUGAAUGUAUAAGUUCUAGUGGUGCAAGAUUUCUCGUCUCCGCAGUCACGUGAGACUUACGAGGUUGCUUAGCUUGCACACACACUUGACACUUAGAUCCUUGACAGUGGUGAAACCAGGGAUUAAGUUCAACUUCGCUAGUCGCGACAUGCAACCAAAGUUAACAUGACAAAGACGUGAAUGCCACACAUUUGAUUCACUAUUGUUGCAAAUAUGAUUAACAACUUUAUUGCAAACGUCUGAUAAGGAUAAACGAAACAGGCCUCCUGACUCAUAGCCUUUACCAACAAAGGUCCCAUACUUGGAUAUUACAAAUUUAUUCGACUCAAAGACAAGCUUAUAGCCAUCUCUACACAGAAGAGAUCCGCUAACAAGAUUUUUAUUGACGGAGGGGACAUAAUGCAUGUUCUUCAGCCGCACGAUCUUCCCUGAAGUAAACUUCAGAUCAACCAUGCCAACACCACGAACAGAAGCACUUGAACUGUUGCCCAUCAGCACGGUUGAAGUCCCUGCGGUCUGAUAAGAUGAAAACAUGGAAAUAUCACCGCAUACAUGCACAUUAGCACCCAUGUCAAUCAACCAACCAGGAGAAUGACAUACUGAAAGAAUAGUGGGAAAUAUACCAUACCCAGCAUCUUUCAUGUCAAUGUGUCCGAUGACAACAUUAGCGGUCUUGCCGCCUUUCCCAGGAUGACGCUUGUCAUAGCGAUUAGGACAACUAGGAGCCCAAUGAUCAGGAUCUCCAAACACAUGACAAGCACCUUUCUUCUUGUCAUUCUUCUUCUUGAAGUUCAUGUGCUGCACAGCCUUGUUCUUCCCAUCGAACUUUGCUUUACCAUCAAACUUGCCCUUGUUCUUGAACUUGUGGGACUGAAAGUUCUUCUUCUGUACCAGAUUGGCACUAGAUCCUCCCUCAAUACCUCGGGCACGUGUGUCCUUUGCUCUCGCCUUUUCUUCCACAUAAGAGUACCAAUGAGAUCCGGGACGGAAAACUCCUGUCUCUUAUGCUUCAGUAAGGUAGCAAAGUUCCUCCAUGAAGGAGGAAGCUUAGUGAUGAUACCCCCGGCAACAAACUUGUCCGGUAAGAUACAAUUGAAGUUCUCAAGUUCUCUAGCAAAAGACUGUAUCUCAUGAGCCUGCUCAACCAUGGAGCGCUCUUCAGUCAUCCUGUAAUCAUAGAAUUAUUCCAUGAUGUACAGCUCAGUGCCGGCAUCCGAGACCCCAAACUUGGCCUCGAGUGUGUCCCACAUAUCUUUUCAUUGUCAAUUGACGCAUAAGCAUCAACUAUGUUCUCACCAAGAACACUCAAAAGAGCAGCCUUAAACAAGGUAUCCAUUUUCUGGAAAUCUUGUGCCUGUUGGGCAUCUUGCUCUCCUUCAGGUUUGCCAAGAGUGGCGUCAUAGAAACUCAUGGUUUGAAACCAUAAGACUGCUCUCACACGCCACCUCUUAUAGUGAAUACCCUCAAACAUAGGAGGUCUCAUGGAAGCAGCAAAAUCACUCAGGGUAAAUUGCCUAUAAUAAGGUUUUUGGAUUGUUGGAAAUAUGAGCAAUUUACCGAAUGAUUUUAUUAACAAAAAUACUAGAUAAAGCAUGACUAAAAUAGCAAAUAUAAAGCAAGUCAUGCAGUCUGAGAGAUAGAAGGUAAACAUCGUCUGCAUAUAUGAACUUGAGCUAAACACAUCUAGAACAGACACUAGAUGAAGUUGCUUAUACGAAACAGAACCUAACAUACGUAGGGCAAAAUCUAGAGCCAAGAACUGUAGCAGGACUUCUAACAGAAAGGAGAAGAACACGUACGGCACAGCAGCAGCAGAAGCGCUGGACUUGGGUUGCUGUCCUCGCCUGCCAUGUCAUCGAGGAGGUCAUGGACGUCAGGGAAGAAGUCGUCGUCGGCGGGGAAGUAGUCGUCGGCGACCGGAUCGUCUGUGAUGAAGCAGCCAGUAGUCGCACUGAGCACUCCCCAAAAACCUUAUCACCCUUCUCUCGUACAAGACUCAAAAGGUGCGGUCGCGAAAGCCUACUGUCCCGACGUGCGGUGCACGCCGCAAGUCGGGAUGAGGAAGACAGCAGCAGCUCAGAGAUGGAACCGAUGGCGAGGGAAGGAGCAGUUCUGGUGCGUCUCUCUGAGAGGAGCGACCUCCCUUUUAUAGGCGCAAGAGAAGGAGGCGAGAGGCUGCGCCGAGAGCUGAAGGGAAUGCGGGAGACGAAACGAACAGGCAGCAGCCGAAGGGGCGCACCAUUCGGAUUCAGUGUCCAGGCACAGAAAAAAAAUGUUUCAGCUUUCGAGUGACCUUUCGUAUACCCGUAGUGCGUGGCAAAAAUUUAGACAUCGGCUCGGCUCAUUCCCGCAACCCGCGGCGCGGCGCAUCGUGACGAGGCGUGGUGAGGCAGGCGGCGGAGGAGGAGCGCACGUGGAUGUCCCUCUUGUUCUCAUGCUCAUACAAGUGGGGAAGGAGCCUCCCUUAUAAAGAGGUCCAACUCCCUCUAAACUAGCAAGGUGGGACUAAACUUUAGUUCCACCUCUUGCCUUGCACGAAUGGGCUGCAUGGGCCUCUAGGAUUUAUUAGGAAUUUCUAAAAUUGCUAUUGGGCUAGGCCCAAAUAGACAAAAAUUCCAGCAAUCCCCCACCAGAUCCCAGAGGCACAAAAAAUUUGCCUUUGGUUCCAAAACACUGUUUUAUAUACUGGUACAGCAGUGGAGACUGUUAAGUUGAACUUCCACCUAGAACCCUAUGCUACACUAGUAAGCAACUUGAACAGUGGACUGGGCCUUGAACUGCAAGUUUUCUGCAAAUCUAGCUUCACAUAAAGCCUUGACCGAUACGUGGCUACCGUGGGUCUUCCCCGCGGGUGGAGCUUAUGCGUCAUACUCCAUGACCUUUCAUUAGUUUACUAGAGAGAACCCUACUCUCAUAGAUUGCGACGUUUAACAAUCAGACUCAUAUAGGUGCGUUCUUCAAAAGAUGUUCUGCAGGACAACAUCUCUGCUUCAAAAAGCCACUUAGAACACAUUAAGAUAUAAAUCAACCUGCCAUGCAGAUUAGGAGAGUAUUGCAUCUUCAUGGAGUGGUAUUUUAACAGUAUGGAUACUCUCCUCUCAGUUGACUAACAGCUUGUCUUCCACAUCUAAUUCACGGGAUCUCCGAUCAUAAAGAAUAGAUUACCACUGUGAACAACUCAUAUUGUGGGUCUCAUUCCCAUCUCCCUCGAUGCAUUAUCUAUCACAUUACGUGAUAGACCCUUAGUAAAAGGAUCUGCCAGAUUUUUAGACGUUUGGAUAUGAUCCAAUGCAAUAACUCUGGAGUUUUUCAUUUUUCUGACAGACUAACCUUCUCUGAACGUGUCUUGAUGACUUCAUGUUAUCCUUUGAGUUGCUCACUUUAGUGAUCACAGUUUGAUUGUCACAGUUCAUCCGGAUACCCGAUACAGGUUUCUCAACUACCGGUAAGUCAUUCAAGAGCAGACGAAGCCAAUCCGCUUCAACCGUACAUGUAUCUAGUGUUGUGAGUUCUACUUCCAUUGUUGACCUCGUUAGAUGGUCUGCUUGCAAGACUUCCAAGAAACAGCGCCACCUCCAUGAGUGAAUACAUAACCGCUCGUGGCCUUUAUCUCAUCAACAUCUGAGAUCCAGUUUGAGUUACUAUACCCUUCAAGCACCUUUGGAUGCCCAGUGUAGUGAAUUCCAUAAUUUGCAGUGCCUUUCAAAUAACGCAAAACUCUCUCUAGAGCUUUCCAAUGCACAUCUCCUGGUUUUGAGACAAACCGGCUUAGUUAGCUAACAGCAAAAGAGAUGUCAGGUCUCAUAGCACUGGCUAAGUACAUAAGCGAGCCAAUAAUCUGUGAAUAUUUCAAUUGGUCUCUAGCGAUUCUUCGAUUCUUUCGAAGCAACACACUAGCAUCAUAUGGUGUUGGAGAGGGCUUGCAGUCACUAUAGCCAAAGCGGCUCAAGAUCUUUUCCACAUAGUGAGAUUGAAGCAAUGUAAUCCCACCAUCAUCAUCUCUCAACAACUUGAUGUUCAGAAUGAGAUCAGCCACUCCUAAAUCCUUCAUCUCAAAACAGCAAGAUAGGAAAUCCUUGACCUCCUUAAGAACAUUCAGAUUUGUUCCGAAAAUCAGUAUGUCAUCAACAUACAAGCAAAGCAUAACUCCCUCGCCCCCACCAUGGCGAUAGUACACACAUUUGUCAGCUUCGUUCACAACAAAGCCUGCAGCUAUUAAAGUUCUUUCGAACUUCUCAUGCCACUGUUUGGGUGCUUGCUUGAGUCCAUACAAAGACUUCAGCAACUUGCACACUUUCCCUUCCUGGCCAUCUAUUACAAACCCCUCUGGUUGUUCCAUAUAAAUUUCCUCAUCCAAAUCUCCAUUUAGGAAAGCAGUCUUAACAUCCAUUUGAUGAACGAGAAGACCAUGUGAGGUAGCUAGUGAAAGUAGACCUCGAAUAGUGGUCAGUCGAGCCACAGGUGAGUAAGUAUCAAAGAAGUCUUCACCUUCCUUUUGGGUAUAACCCUUUUCCAUGAGCCAAGCCUUGUACUUUUCAUUAGUACCAUCAGGCCUAAGUUUCUUCUUGAAUACCCAUUUGCAUCCUAUAGGUUUGCACCCAUAAGGACGAUCAGUUAUCUCCCAAGUUUCAUUCGCCAAGAUGGAGUCCAUCUCGCUACGAAUCGCUUCCUUCCAGUAGUCAGCAUCUUCCGAUGCAUAGGCAUCCGAAAUAGAACUGGGAGUGUCAUCUAUGAGAUACACAAGAAAAUCAUCAGCAAAGGACUUUGCUGUCCUCUGUCUCUUGCUCCUAGUAGGAACUUCAUUGUUCUCCUCCGCAGGACUUUCAAAGUGUUCCAUCGAAAUGGCAGGUUCAGUAAUUGUAACUGGUUCCUGAUUCGAUGAACUAGGCAUCUCCUAAUUAGAUGAGGUAGCCAUAUCCUUCAUGGGAAUGAUAUCUUCAAAGAAAGUCGCAUCAUUCGACUCCAUGAUCGUACCGACAUGCAUGUCAGAUACCUCAGAUUUUACAACCAAGAAUCUAUAGCCAAUGCUGUGAAAAGCAUAUCCCAGGAAAACACAAUCAACAGUCUUUGGUCCAAGCUUCCGCUUCUUUGGAAUUGGAACAUUGACUUUCGCCAAGCAACCCCAUGUUCGCAGAUAAGAGAGUUUUAACCUUUUCUUCUCCCAUUCCUCGAAUGGAGUUAUCUCUUUGUUCUUUGUGGGGACUCGAUUUAGGACAUGACAUGCUGUCAAUAUCGCCUCCCCCCACCAUGCCUUGGAGAGACCCGAUGUGGCGUUAACCAAAUCAGUUAGAGUACGGUUCUUUCUUUCGGCCACCCCAUUUGACUGAGGUGAGUAGGGAUGCGUCCUCUCAUGGAUUAUACCUUGUUCUGCACAAAAAGCAUCAAAUUCAUUGGAAAAAUACUCUCCACCACGGUCAGACCUAAGCCUCUUGAUUUUUCGAUCAAGUUGGUUUUCCACUUCAGCUUUAUAGAUCUUGAAAAAGUUCAAAUCCUCAUCCUUACAUUUCAGAAGAUACACAUGGCAGUAUCUAGUGGAGUCGUUAAUUAACGUCAUGAAAUAUUUCUUUCCACGUUUUGUCAAAACACCAUUCAUUUCACAUAGAUCUGAAUGUAUAAGUUCUAGUGGUGCAAGAUUUCUCGUCUCCGCAGUCAUGUGAGACUUACGAGGUUGCUUAGCUUGCACACACACUUGACACUUAGAUCCCUUGACAGUGGUGAAACUAGGGAUUAAGUUCAACUUCGCUAGCCGCGACAUGCAACCAAAGUUAACAUGACAAAGACGUGAAUGCCACACAUUUGAUUCACUAUUGUUGCAAAUAUGAUUAACAACUUUAUUGCAAAUGUCUGAUAAGGAUAAACGAAACAGGCUUCCUGACUCAUAGCCUUUGCCAACAAAAGUUCCAUACUGGGAUAUUACAAAUUUAUUCGACUCAAAUACAAGCUUAUAGCCAUCUCUACACAGAAGAGAUCCGCUAACAAGAUUGUUAUUGACGGAGGGGACAUAAUGCACGUUCUUCAGCCGCACGAUCUUCCCCGAAGUAAACUUCAGAUCGACCAUGCCAACACCACGAACAGAAGCACUUGAACCGUUGCCCAUCAGCACGGUUGAAGUCCCUGCGGUCUGAUCAGAUGAAAACAUGGAAAUAUCACUGCAUACAUGCACAUUAGCACCCAUGUCAAUCAACCAAUCAGGAGAAUGACAUACUGAAAGAAUAGUGGGAAAUAUACCAUACCCAGCAUCUUUCAUGUCAAUGUCUCCGAUGACAACAUUAGCGGUCUUGCCGCCUUUCCCAGGAUGACGCUUGUCAUAGAGAUUAGGACAAAUAGGAGCCCAAUGAUCAGGCUCUCCACACACAUGACAAGCACCUUUCUUCUUGUCAUUCUUCUUCUUGAAGUUCGUGUGCUGCACAGCCUUGUUCUUCCCAUCGAACUUUGCUUUACCAUCAAACUUGCCCUUGUUCUAGAACUUGUGGGACUGGAAGUUCUUCUUCUGUACUAGAUUGGCACUAGAUCCUCCCUCAAUACCUCGAGCACGUGUGUCCUUUGCUCUCGCCUUUUCUUCCACAUCAAGAGUACCAAUGAGUUCCGGGACGGAAAACUCCUGUCUCUUAUGCUUCAGUAAGGUAGCAAAGUUCCUCCACGAAGGAGGAAGCUUAGUGAUGAUACCCCCGGCAACAAACUUGUCCGGUAAGAUACAAUUGAAGUGCUCAAGUUCUCUAGCAAAGGACUGUAUCUCAUGAUCCUGCUCAACCACGGAGCGCUCUUCAGUCAUCAUGUAAUCAUAGAAUUGCUCCAUGAUGUACAAUUCAGUGCCGGCAUCCGAGACCCCAAACUUGGCCUCAAGUGCGUCCCACAUAUCUUUUCUAUUGUCAAUUGACGCAUAAGCAUCAACUAUGUUCUCACCAAGAACACUCAAAAGAGCAGCCUUAAACAAGGUAUCCAUUUUCAGAAAAGCUUGUGCCUGUUGGGCAUCUUGCUCUCCUUCAGGUUUGCCAAGAGUGGCGUCAUAGCAACUCAUGGUUUGAAACCAUAAGACUGCUCUCACGCGCCACCUCUUAUAGUGGAUACCCUCAAACAUACGAGCUCUCAUGGAAGCAGCAAAACCACUCGGGGUAAAUUGCCUAUAAUAAGGUUUUUGGAUUGUUGGAAAUAUGAGCAAUUUACCGAAUGAUUUUAUUAACAAAAAUACUAGAUAAAGCAUGACUAAAAUAGCAAAUAUAAAACAAGUCAUGCAGUCUGACAGAGAGAAGGUAAACAUCGUCUGCAUAUAUGAACUUGAGCUAAACACAUCUAGAACAUACACUAGAUGAAGUUGCUUAUACGAAACAGAACCUAACAUACGUAGGGCAGAAACUAGAGCCAAGAACUGUAGCAGGACUUCUAACAGAAAGGAGAAGAACACGUACGGCAUAGCAGCAGCAGAAGCGCUGGACUUCGGGUCGGUGUCCUCGCCUGCCAUGUCGUCGAGGAGGUCGUGGACGUCGGGGAAGAAGUCGUCGUCGGGGAAGUAGUCGUCGGCGACCGGAUCGUCCGUGAUGAAGCAGCCAGUAGUCGCGCUGAGCGCUCCCCAAAAACCUUAUCACCCUUCUCCCGUACAGGACUCAAAAGGUGCGGUCUCGGAGGCCUACUAUCCCGACGUGCGGUGCACGCCGCAAGUCGGGAUGAGGAAGACAGCAGCAGCUCAGAGAUGGAACCGAUGGCGAGGGAAGGAGCAGUUCUGGUGCGUCUCUCUGAGAGGAGCGACCUCCCUUUUAUAGGCGCAAGAGAAGGAGGCGAGAGGCUGCGCCGGGAGCUGAAGGGAAUGCGGGAGACGAAACGAACAUGCAGCAGCCGAAGGGGCGCGCCUUCGGAUUCAGUGUCCAGGCACAGAAAAAAAUGUUUCAGCUUCCGAGUGACCUUUCGUAUACCCGUAGUGCGUGGCAAAAAUUUAGACAUCGGCUCGGCUCAUUCCCGCAACCCGCGGCGCGGCAUGACGAGGCGUGGUGAGGCGGGCGGCGGAGGAGGAGCGCGCGUGGAUGUCCCUCUUGUUCUCAUGCUCAUACAAGUGGAGAAGGAGCCUCCCUUAUAAAGAGGUCCAACUCCCUCUAAACUAGCAAGGUGGGACUAAACUUUAGUUCCACCUCUUGCCUUGCACGAAUGGGCUGCGUGGUCCUCUAGGAUUUAUUAGGAAUUUCUGAAACUGCUAUUGUGCUAGGCCCAAAUAGACAAAAAUUCCAGCAGUUUGUGUUCUUCAGGUCUCCACUUGCCAUGAUAUUGCGGCUGGGCUUCGGGUAUGUGUUACCACUGAUACAUCAUUCCAAACUACUAAUGAAUUGGUCUCUGAUGUCUUCUUCUCAAUUUUAACUAGGGCCUGCUUCUGUUUGCACCAAUUCGAGAUAGUGGUUGUGGAAUGCAGCAGCCAAGACAACAAGGUCAGGCUCGGCUUAGGUAUGAUGACAAACAAAAUUAGAUUCGGAUGGUUCCUUACAUCUUCCUCUCAGAAUCAAGAGUGAUAAUACUUUUUUGGUGCUCCGGCUUCUGCAGUUUCUGAAGAACUGAUUCGUUGUUCAGGCAUUUCAUGCAUUUGGAGUUCACAGGUAUCUAAGUUUCUCUGACUGUGUUUUCAAAUAAUUGAUACUUGACAUUAGGAUUUUUGGCUGAACAAAUCAUCUUAGACAUAAGUAGAACCCGGCAAAUUGUGAGACAGAGCUAAUUGAUACACAGUUUAGAAAAUAGAACUGAACAAUUCUUGGUAGUCACUAUUGAUUAGCUAUGUGCGUACCUUAAGUUCCUUACUACUUAUUUUAAUUGUUAGUACUUGAAGGUUUGAAUAAUUAUUAUUACCAAGUUACAUGUUGAUCACUACUUAUUAUGAAAAUGUAUGUCCAUGGUUUAAAGGAGCUUUAUUGUUUCAGUCUAUACUAAGUUAUUUGUCGGUUAUACUGGAGCUUAUAUUGUUCCCUCUUUGAUCUAGACAUCAAAUAUUCUAAGCUUCAUUUUUGUGAGCAAACGGUUCUAUGCUUCCUUUUUGUGAACAUUGCUCCAUAAAUAGUAGUGGCAUUUACUAUGCAGAUGAUACUGACAAAUUAUCAUACAAGUCCGCAUUAAUAUUCAGUCAGUAGGUUAUUGAAGAAGGCCGGAGAUCGCGUGGAGCACCAACAAUAACCUCAAGUAGAUGCAGCAGAGACAUGUGAUGAACUAUCAUAUGUUUCCUAAUCUGAAUGUUUGCUCCAAUCGCUUGAUUGUUUGAUCUGGUUUGUUGUGACAAUACAAUGAUUUUCUAUGUUCUUUUUGUGGUGCAAUCUCCGUUGAUUUGGAAAGAUGGGGACUUUCUGUUGAGCUAUUUCGAUCGGCCAUUGGCCAUAACAUUCCAAAUUCCUUAUUUUGUUUCCUCUUUUUCGCGGCUUCAUUUUACGUGUCUCACUAAAGGUGGGCAUGACUUGAAAAGGGAGGCAAACAAAACUGCCAAGAUGCAUCUCUUUUGCAGCAGAAGAAGAGGCACUGAUGAGAGGUGGAAAAGGAGGGGCAAAGAAGGAAGCCAUGGGCAUGUGCCGCCUACCGACCAUGAAUAUCAACAAUGACAAUGACGACUAGCUUGUGUGCGUGUGAGAGAGGGAGGGAGAGGGAGUCAAAACAAAAUGAUGUAUAUCUUUACUACAUUAUAAAAUGGGAUUUGGUGAGCUAUUUGUCCUUUAUGAUUCAUGAGAUUUUAAUUCUAUAGUGUUUUUUGCUCUUAAUAUAUUAUUGUGGUUAUAGAUUUAUCAUUGACACAAUAUAUGUAGAAACUUUUUUGAUCUAAAUAAGAAGAACAAAAGUUUACGGGAUGCUUUUUGAUCGUUCCCUUUACCUAGCUUCCAAUUUCUAUUGUCAGAAACACAUUUUUUUUGUUCCUAUAGGAAACAUAUGCAAAUAAAAGAUUUGCCGAAGCUUUUUGAGUCCCUGAUGCAUACUAAAUACAGUCCUAGAACAAUAUGCUUAUGCAUAAUAACAAGCUGGAAAAUUGCUCCAAAAUAACACUUAAAACAUAUAAAAGAACAAAAAAAUCCAUUCUGAAUUCUAAAAUGAUCUUUCAAUGUAUGCAGCAAACUGCUUCCUUUAUAAUCUGACAAAACUCGCAGGACUUAUCAUGACGCAUGAAAGGAUAUAGUAAACCAUCACACCGAAGCCGAGGUUGGCUUUGUUUCCUUAUUUUUGCGAGAAGGUGUCAUAGUUCUACUAUUUUGAUUAGCCAUCUAGAGGGAUGACAGUGCAUGCAAUCAUUUAAAUAAAAUAAUACAAAGAUGCUGCAUGAGUCAUCAAUUCAAACAAGAACUUGUUUCAUGUGAUUUUUUGUGUAAAGUGGAAACAAAUUAUUUUUAUAACAACUAAUUCGACAACACAAGUGCUACACCGUGAUCAGUAUAUGCAUAUGAUACGAUCUAGCUAUUUUCCUUUGCACGGGUGGUUUUUAUCAUGAGGUAGGAGGGUUCGUACAAGUCGACUAUCAGCUCUCAUGCAAUGCUUUAAAAAGAAAAACGAGAGGAAUUUGUGAAUUUUUGUAUAACAUUGCAAAUUAUAUGAAAAAACUUUUUAAUUUGUCAGAACUUUUAGGAGGGAGUGAGUGGCAAAUGUUGGAAGACAUUCAAAGUUAGGAUGAUGGGAAUGCCUAUGGCAAUUUGGAGAACUUGGAGAAAACAUAUGCGAACUUGAGCUAGGUAGCAAUGUAGAGCUUAAUUAAGCUAAAUGGUUCAUAUUCAUUUGUUAGUCCAUGAGUUCGAGAUGAUGGACUCAACAAUUGGAUAGAUUUGGAGGGAACACGAAUUUGGAGUAGUGUGACAACAUAGCGAAGUAAUGACACAAUGGUCGAAGGGCUGAAGUUGAGGGGCUUGUGAUAGAUCCAUUUGUUGGCCCGUGGCUGCGCACGGGCGUUCUACUAGUAAUCAUUGGUGGCUUCUUUGACCACCAGACGGCUUAUUGACUUCUUCCACUCGAGGAUCACCGUGGAGCAAUCCUUCUUCCCCUUCCUACAGAAGCACGCCAACCACAAACAAAUGCUCAAAAAGACCUUAGCAAAUGCCAUUGAACUAGAUUGUAGGCAAGAGGAAUCUUAUUAGUUGGUAGAUGUAGAUGUCGAGGCCUCAUCAUUGCUUGCCAGAGGCCUCAUGUGUAUGUCGUGCGUCCCACCAGAGGCCUCUUUUAAUUAGAGGAAGGGCGGUGCGGAGAAGACAUCAUUAGUCACCCUGGGAGAAGAAAGUUCGGUGGCGGUGCGUGUAAAGAGGAGACUUUGGUAGUUUCUGGUGGAGUUGUGGUAGCCGUAGGGACGACGAGAGUGAGAGAGGACUGGGGACGGAGGAGAGGUGAUGGAUGGAAAAAAAUUGGGUGAUUGAGGACGAAAACCAAGAUGAAAANNNNNNNNNNNNNNNNNNNNNNNNNNNNNNNNNNNNNNNNNNNNNNNNNNNNNNNNNNNNNNNNNNNNNNNNNNNNNNNNNNNNNNNNNNNNNNNNNNNNNNNNNNNNNNNNNNNNNNNNNNNNNNNNNNNNNNNNNNNNNNNNNNNNNNNNNNNNNNNNNNNNNNNNNNNNNNNNNNNNNNNNNNNNNNNNNNNNNNNNNNNNNNNNNNNNNNNNNNACUAGAUGUCUCUGUAGUGAAGUAAUAUGAGCAUAACUUAAUUGAUCAGUGUAAAACUUUGAAUUGGUUAAGUAUACUACACUAAAGUAAGUUGUAAAGCCUAAUUGCAAUUAUAUCUUUGAGGGCAAUGCUUAUGAGUUGCGUGACAAUCUUGUCUGUUCUGGAUCUUGCAUCUGAUUCUAAUUAAACAGUACAUGUUAGAUGUUUUUAAUGAGGUCCACGUUAGAUUUGAUUGUUAAUUUAUAGUGCGGGUGAAAGCGGAUUCUAUCCUUUUCGUCUGCCAUUUUUCCUUUCAUAAAAUGUGUCCAUGGAGUAAUUCUCCACAAAAACAAACUUAACUGGACAAAAUAUCCACGGCAAGUCGCAUAUCUUGUGCAACUGUUCACUGUUGAAAGCUUAUUGUGCCACUACCCAUCAUUGCAAGGAAAAAAUACAGAAGAUUUAUGUUCUACCAAAUACAUUCUUUUGUUCAGAUUUAGCCAGGUAUGAUCCUGGUUGCGUCAGCCAUUAGAGUACAUUGCGAUCGACUAGACAGUUUCAGUGCUCAUCUUGCCUACUUUUGCAGCACUAGAUUUGCGAUCAGGUAGAUAAACACAACAACAAAGGAGACGACAGAUGCCAGCGGCCCAUAUUUCCCAAGAAUUCUCUGUGGGUUAAUUCCAUAAUACGGAUUGAAUUCUCUACUGGCACGGAAUCCAGCAACAAGGGCCACACCAUGCUGACACUAGCAGCUAUGUGUUGCUCCCGUGGGCAAGACCUGCCCAAGGAGGAUAGGUAAGAGAAAUGGCUGAAGACACACCAACACCUGGCAACAUGUAGGUUCAUAUUUCACCCCCACCCUUGGAUAAAACCGUGAAUCAUUUGAAACAUAUUAAAACUUGAGUGCAUUUUUUAUUUUGGAGAAAUAUAUAUGCUCACAAGAGCUUAGGAGUCACACGUCGGUUCUAGGUAAUUAAACAAACAAGAACAUUCACUUGUUGAGAAAUUUUACCACCUCUUCUUGCUUCUUUUAUGACACUAGAACUUGACGGGCUUUGGGUCACCUCCUUUUCGGUUUAUAAGGCUUGCGCGUAUCUCUAGGUUGACAAAUAGACCAACUUAAUACAAGUUGUAUAUCACAAAAAAUAUAUAAUUAGGAACUUCAAAUCGUAUACUUUCUAAUGGUAUAAUUUUUAGACUAUACAACUCAUGUUAUGUUGGUCAAGUUAUAGAUCCAGGGAUAUGUACAAGCCUUAUAAACCGGAAAGGAGGUAUGUUAGUAGAUAAACAUGCCAAUUAAGGACUUCUUGACAAGUCUAUGCAGAUUAAAGGUAUGUUAGUAGAUGGUGUAAUAAAUACAUGCUUUUAGCUAUCUAAGGAUACAAAUAUGCCACUAUUUACUUUGUAAAUGCUCGAAAUCAUUCUCAGAAAUUUUAGUAACAACAGUUGUCAUGAACAACUUGGACUAAAUGCAUCAAAUGUUACAAAUAAUACAUAAAAACAUUCAAAUGUACUUAGAGUGAAUCAAUUAAGACGUGUAAAGCUAGUACUAAUCCAAUAUUUCUUAAUGACUUGCAUAUACUUACAACACUUGACGUAAAGAGUGAAUCAAUUAAGACGUGCAAAGCCAGUACUAAUCCAAUUUUAUUAAUAGCUUCCACAAAAUUACAACACGUGGCGUAAAAAGGGAAUAUGAUGAGUCAUGUAUUGAUAACGUGUACAACAUUACUACCCUUGACAUAAAAAGAGAAGUUGAUGAGUCAUGUCUUAAUAACGUGUACAACAUUACUAUCAGCUUGUUCAUCUUACCAUCAUACUAUACAACACUAUAAGUUAGUUUAAAAAAGAAUAAGAGUCCAGAACAAACAUCACAAUACUAGCCUGAUCUAUAUUAACAACAUGCACAAGGACACAAAUUUAGUUCCCCGCAAGCUAUGAAGAUUUGGUUUAUGUCUAACAACUUGUACAAUAUGACAAACUUAGAUCCAAAAGGAAUGCAAACCAGAUAAUUGUAAUGCAAUCCAGAUAAUUAUUUGACAUGCAAAGUGAAUAAGAUGAGUCACUACCAAUUAUCAAGUUUUCCUCACUCUUAGAUGAUAUGAACCAUAAAAAGGCAACUUUGAUGAUCACUCCAUAAUUACGUUUGUAUGUAGUGCCACCAAACACAACACACAAAAUAAUUAGUUCGAUAAGCAUCGAAUCACUUUAAAAAGGAAAGCAAAAAUGGAAAGAAACCUAACCAUGGGAGCUAUAAAAAGGCCUGCAAUAUGUAGACUCCAUACCAUCAUCCAUCCUUCACACAACUAGAGCACAAGUAUCAAAUCCAAGUACGUAGUGGUUAACGCAAAUUAACCAUGAAGACCUUACUCAUCCUAACAAUCCUUGUGAUGGCAGUAACCAUCGGCACCGCCAAUAUGCAGGUCGACCCUAGCGGCCAAGUACAAUGGCCACAACAACAACCAGUCCUGCUGCCUCAGCAACCAUUCUCCCAGCAACCACAACAAACAUUUCCCCAACCCCAACAAACAUUCCCCCAUCAACCACAACAACAAUUUCCCCAGCCUCAACAACCACAACAACAAUUUCUCCAGCCACAACAACCAUUCCCCCAACAACCACAACAACCAUAUCCCCAGCAACCACAACAACCAUUCCCCCAGACUCAACAACCCCAACAACUAUUUCCCCAGUCCCAGCAACCACAACAACCAUAUCCCCAGCAACCACAACAACCAUUCCCCCAGACUCAACAACCCCAACAACAAUUUCCCCAAUCCCAGCAACCACAAUAACCAUUUCCCCAACCCCAACAACCGCAACAAUCAUUCCCCCAGCAACAACCAUCGUUCAUUCAGCCAUCUCUACAACAACAGCUGAACCCAUGCAAGAAUUUACUCUUGCAGCAAUGCAGACCUGUGUCAUUGGUCUCAUCCCUCUGGUCAAUGAUCUGGCCACAAAGCGCUUGCCAAGUGAUGAGGCAACAAUGCUGCCAACAACUAGCACAGAUUCCUCAGCAGCUCCAGUGUGCAGCCAUCCAUAGCGUCGUGCAUUCCAUCAGCAUGUAGCAAGAACAACAACAACAACAACAACAACAACAACAACAACAACAACAACAACAACAACAACAACAACAACAACAACAACAACAACAACAACAACAACAAGGCAUGCGUAUCCUGCUGCCACUAUAUCAGCAACAACAGGUGGGUCAAGGUACUCUCGUCCAGGGCCAGGGCAUCAUCCAACCCCAACAACCAGCUCAAUUGGAGGCGAUCAGGUCAUUGGUGUUGCAAACUCUUCCAACCAUGUGCAACGUGUAUGUCCCACCUGAGUGCUCUAUCAUCAAGGCACCAUUUGCCAGCAUAGUCACCGGAAUUGGUGGCCAAUGAAAAACGCAAGAGCCAUACUAAUAGGUAGAUGGAUCAUCGUUGCUUAGCUGAUUUACCAAUCGAUGUAACGAUGCCAAAUAAACUGGUGUGCACCAUCAUGUGUCAUCCUGACCAGUGCUAGUUCAAGAUUGGGAAUAAAAGAGAAGAACGUUCAUGUUUGCCAACAUUGCUUGUCAUUGUUCCAUUCACUGUGUAUUUAUAUUUUCAUCCUGAACUGCAAUUCUAGUCUUACACAUCAAUAGCUAGUUGCUCAUGUCGGCAGGUUCCUAUGUAAUCUAAUGAUUAAUGGUCGACCUAUUAAUCUAGUUUAUCGGCCGAUUGAUCUAUUAAUUGGUGCUCCCAAGCCGACCGAGCAGCCAUCAGUUACCGAUUUCCUGAACAUUGCACACAAUAAUAAUUCAACGUAUUUCAAUGUCUAGAAGUAAAAGGGCCAUAUAAGCAGUAAAACAAGCGCCUGAUUAGAAACCAUCCAUCACUUUAAAUUAAUCUAGAUAUUUUUGUGUUGGUGCAAUUUUGAGUUGAUGGCACCGACACAUUCUUGAAAGAAAUUCUACAGGGAACUCCAAAGAGGUGAAAAUCAAACUAAAGUUGCCACAUGGUAAAAGAUAAAUCAUGCGGCAAGCAAGAGGAAAUAUUGAGUCACAAUAGCUAGCGCCAAACAUGUAAUUAAACUAUUCUUAUGGUUUCUUGCAAAGAGGGAAGUAAUUUACAGAUGACAAACAAAACGUAAUUAGCAUUAGUUCUAAUUGAUUGUAGAAAUUUCUUUUAUCGGUAGAAUAACUCAGUUGUUAUUUAUUUAAACAUGCACUGUGAUAUUGACUUAUCUCAAUCUAGGAACACAAAGCAAAUACUACAUUUGCUGCUAUGGACUCCAAACAGAUGAGAAAUCAUUAUGUGUAGAAGUUCCUUAGAAGGAUAUUUUGGCCUAAACAAAUUUAACAUUGUACUCGUGUCUUACAUAGUUAAAGCUGAAAAAUCAACAUAACCAGUGGACACUUUGUAAGACAAGUGUGGGAAACAAAUAGUAGGAUAUAAAUUUGAGUAGAAUGUUUGCUCAAAUGUUGAAAAAAUAACCCAGCAAACUAAAACUCAGCAAAACAGUCUAUUCUACCUUAUACGGACUGUCACAAUGAUAAUGCUAUGUUUUUUUGGAAUACAAAUUCAAAAAAAAUCAGCCACAGAUCCCUGAGCCCAUCCAACAGGAGAGCUUCAAUUGAAAGAAGUAUUAGUUCGAUUAGACCAUGUAGUACCUAAAGGAGGAUGGUGGCCCCAUGGAACAACUCCAGCCUUUCCAUUGUGUCCGGGCGCAAUGCGAUAAUGGAGUUAUGGUCAUUGGUGGCUUCGCUGGCCAUAGACGGCUUAUUGACUUCUUCCACUUGAGGAUCACCGUGAACCAGUCCUUCUUCCCCAUCCUACAUAAGCAUGCCAACCACAAAUAAAUGCUCAAAAAGACCAUCUUAAAUGUCAUUGAACCGGAUUAUGGGAGGCAGAAUCUUAUGACUCGGUGGAUGCAGAUAUCGAGGCCUCAUUUGUAUGUUGUGCCUCCCACCAGAGGUGUCUUCUAAUUAGAGUGGUGCGAGAAGACAAUAUAAGCCACCGUGCAAGCGAAACAAUUAGGAGGCACUGCUUGUAAAGCGGAGAAUUUGGCACUGUCUGGUGGCAUUGCGGUAGCCGCAGGGUGGAAGAGAGAGAGGGAGGGAGGGAGGGAGGAUGAAUCGGAAAACCAGGAGCAGGGGUGAUCAACGAUGAAAACCAAGAUGAAAAAACAAUGUGCAAGAGAGGAAGAGGAAUAGGCUAGCUAUUUCUGUAGUGAAGUAAUAUGAGCAUAACUUAACCCAUAGGUGUGGAACUUGGAUUCGGUUGAAGUAUAUACUAUACUAAAGUAAGCUGACUAAUUGCAAUUUAAAUCUUUGGUGGCAAUGCUUAUGAGUUGUGAGGCCAUCUUGACUAUUCUGGAUCUUGCAUAUGAUUCUAAUUAAACAGUAUAUGUCAGAUGUUUUUAAAGAGGCACACAUUAUAUUUGAUUGUUGAUUUACACAUUCUAAUUAAACAUUAUAUGUCAGAUGUUUCUAAUGAGGCCCACGUUAGAUUUGUAUGUUGAUUUACAAAGGGAUUGAUAAGUUGAUUCUAUCCUUUUUCCUCUGCCAUUCUUCCUUUCAUAAAAUGUGUCCAUCGAGUAAUUAUCCACAAUAACAAACAUGACUAGACAAAAUAUCCACGACAAGUUGCAUAUCUUGUGCAACUGUUCACUGGUGAAAGGCUAUUGUGCCACUAUCCAUCAUUGCAAGGAAAAAACACAAAAGAUUUAUGUUCUAUCAAAUAUAUUAUUUUGUUUGGAUUUAGCCAGGUAAGAUCCUGGUUGCGUCGGCCAUUAGAGUACCUUGCGAUCGACUAGACAGUUUCAGCAUAUCUUCUUGCCUCCUUUUGCAUCACUAGAUUUCGAUGGGCUUGCGAACAGGAAGAUAAACACGGCAACAAAGGAGACGAGAGAUGCCAGUGAUCCAUAUUUCCAAAUAAUUCUCUGCAAGUGAAUUCCAAAGAAUGCAUUGAAUUUUGUGCUGGCGUAGAAUCCAGCAGCAAGGGAAACACCAUGCUGACGCUAGGAGCUACGUGCUGCUACCGCGAGCUCCCAUGGCAAGACCUGCCCAGGGAGGACCGGCAAGAGAAACGGCUGAAGACACACCAAGACCCGGCAACAUGUAGGUUCAUAUUUCACCCCCACCCUCAGAUAAAAAUGUGAAUCAUUUCAAACAUAUUAAAACUUGAGUGGAUUUUUUUAUUUCGGAAAAAUAUGCCCACAAGAGCUCAGGAGUCAACGUCAGUUCUAGGUAAUUAAACAAACAAGAAGAUUGACUUGUUGAGCAAUUUUACUACAUUUUCUUGCUUCCUUUUACGACACUAGAACUUGAUGGACUUCCGGUCAGCUAGAUAAACAUGCCAAUAAAGGACUUCUUGACAAGUCUGUGCAGAUUAAAGGUAUGUUAGUAGGUGGUGUAAUAACACAUGAUUUUAGCUAUCUAAGGAUACAAAUAUGCCACUAUUUAUUUUGUAAAUGCUGGAAAUCAUUGUCGGAAAUCUUAGUAACAACAGUUGUCAUGAACAACUUCGACUAAAUGCAUCAAAUGUUAGGAAUAAUACAUACUAACUUAGUUCAAUAAAUUAACCUAUUGAAGCAAGAAAAGAAACCUUGAAAUGUACUUAGAGUGAAUCAAUUAAGACAUGCAAAGCCAGUACUAAUCCAGUUUUAUUAAUAACUUCCACAAAAUUACAACACGUGACGUAAAAAGGGAAUAUGAUAGGUCAUGUAUUGAUAACGUGUACAACAUUACUACCCUUGACAUAAAAAGAGAAGUUGAUGAGUCAUGUCUCAAUAACGUGUACAACAUUACUAUCAGCUUGUUCAUCUUACCAUCAUACUAUACAACACUACGAGUUAGUUUAAAAAGGAAUAAGAGUUCAGAAUGAACAUGACAGUACUAGCCUAAUCUAUCUUAACAACAUGCACAAGGACACAAAGUUUGUCUGCCACAAGAUAUGAAGAUUUGGUUUAUGUCUAACAACUUGUAUAACAUGACAAACUUAGAUCCAAAGGGAACACAAUCCAUAUAAUUGUUUGACAUGUAAAGUGAAUAAGAUGAGUCAGUGCCAAUUAUCAAGUUUUCCUCACUCUUAGAUAAUAUGAGUAGCAAAAAGGCAACUUUGAUGAUCACUCCAAAAUUACGAUUGUAUGCCGUGCCACCAAACACAACACACCAAAAAAUUAGUUCGAUAAGCAUUGAAUCACUUUAAAAAAGGAAAGCAGUGAUGAAAAGAAACCUAGCCAUGGUGGCUAUAAAAAGGCCUGCAAUAUGUGAGCUCCAUACCAUCAUCCAUCCUUCACACAACUAGAGCACAAGCAUCAAAUCCAAGUAGGUAGUAGUUAACGCAAAUCCACCAUGAAGACCUUACUCAUCCUGACAAUCCUUGCGAUGGCAAUAACCAUCGCCACCGCCAAUAUGCAGGCCGACCCUAGCGGCCAAGUACAAUGGCCGCAACAACAACCAUUCCUGCAGCCUCACCAACCAUUCUCCCAGCAACCACAACAAAUAUUUCCCCAACCCCAACAAACAUUCCCCCAUCAACCACAACAACAAUUUCCCCAGCCUCAGCAACCACAACAACAAUUUCUCCAGCCCCGACAACCAUUCCCCCAACAACCACAACAACCAUAUCCCCAGCAACCACAACAACCGUUCCCCCAGACUCAACAACCCCAACAACCAUUUCCCCAGUCCAAGCAACCACAACAACCUUUUCCCCAGCCCCAACAACCGCAACAAUCAUUCCCCCAACAACAACCAUCGUUGAUUCAACAAUCUCUACAACAACAGUUGAACCCAUGCAAGAAUUUCCUCUUGCAGCAAUGCAAACCUGUGUCCUUGGUGUCAUCCCUCUGGUCAAUCAUCUUGCCACCAAGCGAUUGCCAGGUGAUGCGGCAACAAUGUUGUCAACAACUAGCACAAAUUC
RNAcentral lists this long non-coding RNA (84801 nucleotides) under Triticum aestivum (bread wheat). RNAcentral describes it as "long non-coding RNA (TAES_LNC028373)". Lineage: Eukaryota; Viridiplantae; Streptophyta; Magnoliopsida; Poales; Poaceae. The record is from RNAcentral.